UUAGUCUAUAUAAGAACACAGAAUGGCACCAAAUUUUGCAGUGAAGAUCAAUCUAAUAAGUUGAAAGCAAAGACCAAUAUAGAAAAAAAAAAAAAAAAAAUGUCUCUAAAAUGGGUUAUGGUAUUUGCAAUUGCAAUGGUGCUUCUCACUGCUGAGACUGCAACAGAGGCUCACCGGCCAACGCUAACUCCAAAUGAUCCGGAAAUGAAGUCGAUGGUGGGUCAUGCUGGUGACAAGACCAUUCCUGCCCAUGGAGGAAAAGGGUGCAAGAAAGGCCCGCAUUCCAAUUGCAAGGAACACCAUGGCUGAGUCAGAAGGGUCUUUCUCUGACGAGAUAAGGCCGUGCUGUUGGGGAGAACUAAAUAAAACUACUGCGUUCAAAAAGCCUAUAUUGGCUGCCCUCAAAGAUUAUCCAUGGUUUCAAAAUAUUGUAAUCUAAUGUUUGUGUGUUGAUGUUGGUGUCUUUGUAAUAUGGUUGUUUGUUGUGAGAUCUAAUAUCUAUAUAAAUGCUUUUCUUUUGUAUUCCGCAAUUCUAGCAAGAUCUUUAGCUUAACUCCUGAGCUUUUUCUCUCUCUCUCUCUCCAGAAUUUGCCAAUGGUAACAUUAGACUAUGAAAAAAGUACACCAAUGGUUAUAAAAACGCUUCAAGAAAGAAGUGUACAAAAUGAAUGAUUAUCUAACCAUGAGCCAAGCAAGUCCAUGGUUGACCAAAUCCUACCAGGACCAAUAUGAGGUGGGCCAACCAUUUGAGAAUGCUUUGGAUGAGACUGACAUAUACACUUGGUUGGUCCACUCCAUUAGGAGAAUAAGUUUAACUUAAGCAUUAAAUUGUGGGUAAAAUGCUCAAUACAUCAGUAUUGUACGGUUUCUUUUUUUCACGCAGACGUUGAUCACCUUCUGUAAACCAUAUCCUUCAGGUCAUGUGAAGUAGACUAAUUUUACAAAACCAACCAAAUAUUGAUCUAAAUAGUUUGUGGUAUAUAUUUUUCAUCUGAACUACUUACUGCAAAUUAAAUCCUAAUACAAAUUUUGGAAUAAAGUAUAAACUACCACGACCCUAUAGAUUCAUUAUAAUAUCGGCCUAUACUAUAGACUUCAACAAAGAUAUGUAAUAUAAACCAAAUUUUAUCAUUUUGUAUAGAUUAUUGUUUUCUAUCUUAAGAAUAAAAUAUUUUUCCUUUUAUUUAUUUUAUUAUUAUUAUGAUGGACUACUUUCACGUUAGAAAAAUUGCAUCAAAUGACAAAAAAAUUAGAAAAAAACAGCUCAUGACACAUAUUUUUUGCAUUAUGACAAAAUUAGUGAUAUUAGGCGGCUAUCAAACAGUAAUCAUAAGACUAUCAGACGUUAUUACAGGGUUAUGAUCAGCUGUUAAAUUUAUUAUUUUUGCAAUUUAGAAAAUGUAGUGACAUGAACUCUAUUAUCAUAAAUGUUUUGCUACUUUUGUAAGAGCCCCUCCAAAUAAUGUAAAAUGGUCCAAAAUAAUUACAAAAUAAUAUAAAAUUUUAGUAUUAUGAUAGAGACCGAUAUACUCAUGUUUGUAAGAUUAGAAAAAUAGGAGUGAAGACUAAAAUAUGGUUGAUAACACAAUUUUGAUGAAUUCAAAAUAUUAGAAAACUCAAACCCAUAUAUAUCAUCUAAUUUGGAUAAUCUCAAGCAAUAUGAAUAGAAGAAAAGCUACUUUGUGUUUUAUAUCAUAAAUUACAAUUGUGUCAUCAUGUUAUUAGCACUCUUAUUUAUUUAUUUGUUUCUUCUCUCUUUAUAGUCUUUAUUGGGUUUUGUUGCUAAAAAAUCACUAUCUUCAUCACAUAUAUGCAAACCUGUUUCGCCCUCAUUUAUCAAUAGAAAGUGAGCAUGCAUUGAAUACUUGACACUUAUGAGUGCCACUAAUGCCUCUCACAAUAUACUAAAUUCAUUUUCUUUCUUAGUACACAAUUAAAGCAUAGACUUUUACAAACUUAUAUUUAUUAUCUGCUGAGUUAUAAAUUUUGGGAAGCCUUUAAAUUGUGAAGCUUCUCCCAAGCAACGAAUGUGUGUGCAUUGAACUUUCUAUUCGAAAAAACAAAAAAAUAAAUUACUCUACUGGAUAAAAGAAGAAGAGUUUGUUGGAUAUUUGUCCAAACAAAAAUAAUAAGAUUUUUUUAUUAAGUUAUUUUUUAAAUAAAUGAUUCUAUUUAAAGAUAAGAAUAUUAUUUAGAGAUAAAAGAUUUUCUUUCGUAAUAAUAAUAAUCUUUGCAUUAAGAAGUUACAGACAUGUAUUAUUGUGAUUUUUAAAUAGCUAAGUUAUUGGCUUAGUUCAGCGUGCGCGUUGAUGGAAAAUGGACUUCGAAAAAGUUCUCUCUUUAAGAAUUAUUAUUUGUGAAGGUAGUCAAAUUACCAUUUUUAUGAAGAUGAAUUACUGGAAUUCUGCAAGUAGUUUUUACACUGCAACUAUUGAUAAGAAAUAUGAAAGAAGACUGAAAUAGUUGAACUGUAGUCCAUGAGUUUAGAGAAAGCCUGAGUUUAUCUUCAAGAAGAUUCAAACAUAAAUUCAGGAGAAGUCCGUACUUGAUUAAGUUUUUUGCUCAUUUGAAUCUUAAUAAUAUUUUUAUAUGAGGUAAGAAGCUCCCUAGACGUAGAUGGUAUUCAUCGAACUAGGUUAACAAAGUCUUCUGUGUUAUUAUUAUUAUUAUUUUGUUUCUUUAGCUAUUUUUUCAAUUAAUUAUUUUUGAUAUUGCUAGAUGAUAUUUUGAUGGCAUCACAUUUAUUUUAAGUUAGUUUCCAAAAUAUGAUUGAAACGUAGAGAGUGGACAAAAUUUAGAAAGUUACAAUAAAUAAAAAGAAAUUAUUGUAAAUGGUAAAAAUACUAAAAAUAUUUACAAAAUAUAAAAAGUUUCAAAUUAUAGAAAAUAUAAAAAUUUCAUUCCAUCCGGGAUAGAAUUUUAAAUUUUGUUUUAAUUAAUUUGUAAAUGUUUUCAUUCAUUAGAGUAUAUUUAGAAAGGCUCCUGUAGAUAAUAAAAUGUCGUGAAAUCAAGUAGUACAUCAACCAAAAUGAAAAUGCAUUGCACUUAUAUAUUAAAUUGUUAAAAAUUACUUUCUAAAACAUGAACAAGAAGAAUAAUUAAGUAUACACUACAUAGUCAUGUAUAUAUACAAUUCCUGCCAAACAAUUAAUUAGAGGGUUGUUAGGAUAGUUCUUUUUGUUUUUUUAAUAGAACAAGUAGUUGGUCCAAAUAAAAAUAUUGGUAAAAAAGAAAAAGGCAUUAGCAGUUACACCCAUAUUAGUGUAUAUCAGAACACAAAAUUGCACCAAAUUUUGCAGUGAGGAUCAAUCUAAUAAGUUGAAAGCAUAGACUAAUAGAGCAAAAAAAAAAAGUCUCUAAAAUGGGUUAUGGUAUUUGCAAUUGCAAUGGUGCUUCUCACUGCUGAGACUGCAACAGAGGCUCACCGGCCAACGCUGACUCAAAAUGAUCCGAAAAUGAAUUCGUUGGUGGGUGAAUCAUAAUCGUGACAAAAUUACCAAUCCUUCCCAUGGAGGAAAAGGGUGCAAGAAAGGCCCACAUUCCAACUGCAAGCAACACCAUGGCUGACUCAGAAGGGCCUUUUUCUGACGAGAUUAGGCCAUGCUGUUGGGGAGAACUAAAUAAAACUACUGCAUGCAAAAGCCUAUAUUGGCUUCCCUCAAAUAUUAUCCAUGGUUUCUGAAUAUUGUAAUCUAAUGUUUGUGUGUUGAAGUUGGCGUCUUUAUAAUAUGGUUGUUUGUUGUGAGAUCUAAUAUCUAUAUAUGCUUUUCUUUUGUUUUUGGCAAUUCUAGCAAGAUCUUUAGCUUACCUCCUGACCUUCUUUUUUUUCUCUCUCCAAAAUUUGCUAAUGGUAACUUCAGACCAUGAAAGUACACACUAACUGUUCUGUAGAACACUGUUCUGACAACUUGUUAGUACUCAAGUAUUUCUACAUUUCCAGUUACUUACAACUAAUUAUUAAAUGUCUAACCAAAAAGCUUCUUGCUUUAAUUUGGAUAAUCUCAAGCUAUAUGAAUAGAGGAAAAGCUACUUUAGUGUUUUAUAUCAUAAUUAUUAUUACAAUUGUGUCAUCAUGUAAUUAGCACUCUUAUUUUUUUAUUUCUUCUCUUUAUAGCCUUUAUUGGGUUUUGUUGCUAAAGAUAUCACCAUCUUCAUCACAUAUAUGCAAACCUGUUUCUCCCUCAUUUAUCAAUAAAAAAAAGUAAGCAUACAUUGAACAAUUUUCACUUAUGAGUGCCAAUGAUGCCUUUCACAAUAUAUUAAAUUUAUUUUCUUUCUUAGUGCACAAUCAAAGUAUAGAGUUUUACAACCACAAUCAAACUAUAGAAUUUUACACACUUAUAUGUAUAUAUUACCAGUUGAGUUGUAUUUUCUUUAGAAUUAAUAUAAAAAAAAUUAUCUCAAAUAUUGAAAGGGUGUUUGGACCCCAGAUUUGAAAGAAGUGGAGUCGACUAAAUCCUUGUCUGGAAAAACUUAGUAUUAGGGUUUCAAUCAUUCCCGCAUACAUUUUCCAACUCCGUCCCCUAAUACUUCUCACUCCCUCUCACUCCUUUGUGAUUUUCAGUGUAAUCCUUCCUCUUCACUCCGCGUAAUCCAUCUCACUUCUUCCUCCCUUAUCGUGUUCCUUCUCUUUUUCCAUCUUUCUGUUAUCAUCCCUCUUCGAAUCUCAUAUCCGUGUUUACUUUUCGUUUUCCUCUUGAAACCAUUUUUCUUCUCCCUUUUUGGUUUUGUAAAUAAGGUCUAUUUUUGUAGCCAUUAAUGGUUGGGUUUCCACCCCUUGCCUUUAGAAGUCUUCCUCUUGCAUGUCCGAAGAGACUACUCAGUGAACAUGCAAGGAUCUCUUCCUUAUCCCUCCGAGUUUUCCAUGUCGCUCUGACGACUUGUGUACCGAAACGGCUGUGAACAGAGAGAUGCUACUUAUAUUGUGGGAUCCAAAGAAUGGUAGGGACAUCAGCAUUGGAGCACGAUAGGGGUGUUGUCAGUUCUUAUCGGGUUUAUAUCUCAAACAUGCCUUUAUAGUCAAUGAUAAGUGUAAUCUAGAGUUCAGAGAAGUAUAUUUCUUAUUCAUAUUGAGUCAAAGGAACGUUACAUAUAUUUAUAUAGAGAAUAAAAUAAACCCUAGACACUAUGUACAAUUACAAUAAAGGACGUAUGAUAUAUAUAUAUAUAUAUAUAUCAUAACAAUAAGGUCCUCUUCUGAAUUAUCUUAUUCAUUUUUUUGUGUUUCUUUUUCAUGUAGUAUGUUCAAAAUGUUGCUUAUGUGAUUCGUUCUGAAAAUAUGUUUAAAAUGUUGCUUAUGUCACCUUGAGGAGCACCAAUACUGUUUGUGAAGAAGAAAGAUGGGUCGAUGCAUCUUUGCAUUAACUAUAGAGAGCUUAAUAAGGUAACAGCCAAGAACAUAUAUUUGUUUCCCAGAAUUGAUGAUUUACGUUCAGGGUAUCACCAAUUGAGGAUUAGAGACAAUGAUCUUCCUAAGAUCGCUUUUCAUUCUAUAUAUAACCGUUAUGAGUUAAUUGUGAUGUCUAUUAGUUUGACGAAUACUCCUGUUGUAUUCAUGGAUUUGAUGUACAGAGUGUUUAAGGAUUUUUUAGACACUUUUGUGAUAACUUUUAUUGAUGGUAUCUUGGUUUACUCCAAGAUAGAGGUUGGGCAUGAGAAGCAUUUGUAUUGGGUUUUGGAGACUUUUCGAGCCAAUAAGCUAUAUGCUAAGUUUACAAAGUGUGAGUUCUACCUGAAGCAGGUGUCUUUUCUUGGCCAUGUAAUAUCCAAUGAGGAAGUUUCUUUGGACUCAGGAAAGAUUGAAGUUGUUACCAAUUAGCCUCGUCCUUUUGUAGUCAGUGAAGUUUGAAAUUUUUUGGGUUUAGCAGGUUACUACAGAAGAUUCGUGGAAGGUUUCUCUUGUAUAGCCAGUCUCUCAACUUAGUUGACCAAGAAAGGGACUCCUUUUGUUUGAAGCUCAACAUGUGAGAGCAGUUUCCAAGAUCAUAAGUAGAAACUUGUUACUGCAUCAGUCCUUAUAAUGCCAGAUGGAUCUGGAAGUUAUAUGAUUUAUAGCGAUGCUCCUCGAAGAAGGGAUUGAGUUGUGUUUUGAUGCAGCAAGGUAAAGUGGUUGCUUAUGCCUCCCGACAGUUGAAGAUGUUUGGAUUUAUGUCAUAAAAAUCGUAGAUUGUAAAUAUAAUUCAUUGACCGUUAUUAAUAAAGUGUUAUUAUUGUAAUGAAUGUUAUUGAUUAUAUUAUUAGUUUUGUCUUAAUAACUCAAAUCCAAUAACCUAACAUCCUAAGUUGUUUGAUGAGUCUUGAAAAGUAUGUAGAGACAUACAGGAAUCAAUGUUCGAGAUCAGCUUAAAGGGUCUAUAGUAUAGGGAUAAGACUGAGUACCUUAUCUUGGUAACGCUAUGGAUACGACUCACUUUGUAUUUGAUACAAAUGCAAUGAUCCAACAUGGAGAAGAUGAAGAUGUAGAUGUGUUGCAGUCCAGAGGAUCAUUAUCAUCAUCUUCAAUGUGUUGUUGCCAAGAGAAUCAUCAUCUUCAUCUUCGAUGUGUUGCAUCCGAGAGGAUUAUAAUCUUCAUCUUCGAUGUGUUGCAACCAAGAAAAUCAUCAUCUUCAUCUUCGAUGUGUUGCAACCGAGAAAAUCAUCAUCUUCGUCUUCAUCUUCAAUGUGUUACAACCAAGAGGAUCAUCAUCUUCAUUUUUAAUGUGUUGCACCCAUGAGAAUCAUCAUCUUCAUCUUUAAUGUGUUGCAGCACAAGAACCAUCAUCUUCAUCUUCAACUUGUUGCAGCCAAGAAGCCGAACAAACAAAAAAGUAGGACAUGGAGGAAACCAAACCAAGAUACAUGCUUGCAUGGGGCCUUCAAGGAAUAGCGGGAAAAAAAGUCAAAGUCAAGUUAUGUGUAAGAAAAUUUAUUAUAAGAUAAAGAAAAGAAAAGAAAAGAAAUUUUUUAAAAAAAUUUAGGUUAAAAGAAAAGGUAGUACAAAAUGGUUAAAAAAAUAAAUGAAAAAAAUUAAAGAAACAAGAAAAGAAAAAAAGGCAGACAAAAAGUAAUUAAAAUGAAAAGAAAAAGAAAGAAAGAGAAAAACAAAACAAAAAAAACAAAAACAAAAAACGAAAAUAAAAGAAAAUAAAAGAAAAAUAGAAAAGAAAAAGGGACACUUGCAAAAAUAACAAAAAAAUAAUAUUAAUAAUAGGGUCCAUGUCACUACGUUUUCUAUAUUGCAAAAUUAGCAAAUUUAAAAGUUGAUAACCCUCUGAUAGCCCUCUCAUAAUCCUUAGAUAGCAUUCUAAUAGUUGUUUCAUAGCCGUUUAAUAGCACUAAUUAUUUGUCAUAUUUGUCAUAUUCGUAAGAUGGAAAAAGAGGUGUUAUAGCUUAUUUUUUCUAAAUGUUUUUGUCAUAUGUUGCAAUUUUUUAAGGAAGAACGAGAAAAAUGAAGGAAAAGGAAAAAAGAAAAAAACUCUUUCAUAAUUUUUUUUUAAAAUAAAUUCUAUCUUUAUCUUUUCUUUUCUCCAGCUCGACCCUCUUUCACUUUUUUUUCCUCCCCCUCUCCAUCAGCCCCCUCUAUCUCUCCCGCGACCAAAAAGAAAAACAUAAAAAUGAACCCCAUUUUCACACUAUGUUCUCCCAAAUAGGUAAGGAAGCAAACGAUGAAGCAAAAAUAAAAAGAAAAAAAGUUAGAGGAGCCAAAUACAUAAGUAUCAACAAACGUGUUUGAUUGUCGAGAUUACCUAAUCUUUUACUUUAGUUUUUAAAAAAAUAACAAAUUAAAUAAAUAAAUAAAUAAAAUUGCUUUAAUUUUUUUUUCUAAUUAAAUCCAUGAUCGAAGAAAAAAUAUUGGAGAAUUAAAAAAAAAUUCACAAUUCAUUUUGUUUUUCUAUUGUUGCAAAAAAAAAAAAAAAAAAAACUUUAUCCAAUUCAUAAAUUCAUUUCAAAUUUAAAUUGAGUAAAAAGAGAAGGGGCGAACUUUUUAAAUUCUAAGUUUGAGGCUAAUUCAGGUUUAAGCUGCACAAAUUUUACUAAAAAUUCAAAUUAGAAAAUUAUGAAAAGAAAGAAAAAACUUUAACUUAAAUUCAUGAAUGAGCAAUAUUCCAAUUUCAUCAAUUUUAUAAGUCUCAAUCUCCCAACUAAAUUUAUCGUGAAUUAAAUUCAAAAUUUACUAAACUUUAUAUCAUUUAGUCACAGCUAUGUCCAAGUGCGUAGUCUGAUUAAUUUUGCAUAUUAACUUGAGUCAAAGUCAAUAACAAAUCAUUUCUAGUUUUUGUUUCACCUUAUCGUUUUUUAGAUUCACCCAUCCAUGAAAUUUCGACCAAUUAAAUUCUGCGGCGUUAUCACAACAAGCAUUACGAUAGUUAUAAUUUGAUUGAGUUUGGGUAAUUAACUUUUCUCAUACACAAUCCAAUUCAAAACCUAAAUAUAAAAAUUGAGUCAACCAAGCAAAUGAGCCCAAGCCCAAGCCCAAUGACAAAGCGCCAUCUAAAACCCACGAAAAUUCUCUAUAAAUAGAGACCAUUCCACAUUUUUAGGAUCUUUGGGAGUAGGAGGAAUUGAAGCUUUGAAUAUUGUACCUCUAAAGAAUUGAAAAAGUUAUUAAGACGUAUAAGUUAUUAUCAAUCUCGAGAUUAUCAUCUUCUAAAAGAUUGAAAAAUUGGAAGGUUAAAACUUUUCUGGAAUUCUAGUAGAUCGAAGCUCAAAUAGACUUGCAACUAUAACUUCGUAUUAACUUUUCUGGAGAAGUUCUAAGUUUUAACUUUUAUUCUAAAGAAAGCAUCAAAUGAAUAAAUACUAGAGAUUGUAUUCAUUAUAUAAAUCAAUAUACAAAGUUCAAUUCUACGAAAUACAGUCAUGUAAAAAAAUGUGGCGUGAACAUAUCCUAUAAAAAUCUCUAAUUUAUAAUUUCAUAACAACAUGAUUUGUUUGCUGAUGGAUGAGACCAACUUCACUUUUUGUUACCUAAAUAUUUUCACUCGUAUUUGUUAGCUUGACUUUCAAAUCCAAAACCACUAAAUGGCCCUCCAAAAUUAAAUUGCCAACAAAAACUAAAGGGGAAAAGGUUUGUAGUUCAAUUAAUGAUGGGAGAAAGUUUGUCCGAAAUCAACGUUGGGUCUUAAUUUCAUUUUGGUUUAACUUUCGCAUCAUUUAUCAAAUUUUACAUGUAAUAACUUACUUUUAUUUUUAUGAAAUAUUUUAAUUAUUUAUUCAUAGUUUGAAUGAAGAUAAUGUGUUUGGAAACCGAAGCUAAAUAAAAAGUAUUGUCUUAUUAUUAGGGCGUGAAUUAUGGUUGGAAACAUUGAUAGUUCAAUUAUUCUAAUACAUUUCUUCUAACUAAUAUGCCGUGAAUUAUGGUUUCUAACUUUUGAUAAUCAAUUUUUUAAUAUAUUCUUUUAAUAAAGGUAGUUAAUUGAGGGAAAACUACUUUUUGGAGGGAUAAUUUAAUUGGUUUUCCAGGUUUCAAAUUAGCUAAUUCAGUUCUACAUUUUUUUAAAUAGAUUUUGUCAUUUUACUCUUUUUUAAAUAAUAAUAAAAAUUAAUAUUUAUUAAUCAUGGUAACCAAUUCUAUGUUUUUUUUACGAGAGAUCUUAGGUUCAUAACCCCCACCCCAAGUUAUACUUAAAAAAAACUAUUUUCAUGUUUUUGUUUGACAAAUAGAUUUCAUUCAAUUUGUUCUUUUUUAAUUUAAAGGUGUUUUUAACCGACAUACAGGAAGAUACUGUGAGAUUCAAUCCUUUCUGGACACUUGAAGUUGUAAUUACUAUUUCUCGGGUUUUCUGUCAUAUAAGUCAAUCUUUUUCAGCAAGCAAGCUAAUCGAUGUUCAGAAAGACUAAUCUUUCAUAUAAAAACUAGUUCUGUUUUGCUUCUUGGUGAGUUCUUGAUAUAUAUUGUAUAUGUGUAGAGUAUAAUGUUGUUCACCGAAUUAAUAACUAAAUAGAGAACCGAAGUGAAGAUAUCUCUAUUGUAAGCCUAGCAAGUAGCAUAGUACUGAAGUAUCCAUACUCAUGUGGGCAACCUGAACAAUGUGAUGUAAAUCAAGAUAAUAAGCAACUAAUUGAGACGAGAUUCUUUUAUAAAUCUGGAUUGUUCAGUAUAAGUUUGUUUAGUAUCUAAACGAUAUUAAUUCUGAUAAAAAUAUUUGUACUUAUAAACUUUUAGAUAGUUAAUAUAAGAUCUUUUCAAUCGGGUUCAUGACUUGCAGAUGUAGGUGUUGUGGCAUUGAAUUGGGUUACCAACACUUUUCUGCUAUGUUAUCUUUUUAGUCUUGCUCAUGCAGUUUUCUCGGUUAUUAAUUUGGAAUUUAUCUUGUCUCUUUGAUUGAUUGAGUGCUUUUUUUUCUCUCUAUUAUUUUUUUCUUUUUUUGGUUGUAACUUUUUUUUCUCUCUAUUAUUUUUUUCUUUUUUAAUUUACUAAAUUUAGGAGUGAUUUUUAAAAUCACUAAAAACUCUUACAUUAUUGUUUCAUCCACGUUAUUUAGGAUAUUGAUUUUUACUUAUUUCAAACUCACAAACGAGAGGGAAUGUGUUACAUGAUAUAUAAUUUUAAAAAAAAUUCAUCUCUUAAUUUAAGUUUUUUGGUUAAUCGAUGAUUUAAGAUAUCUCAAUAACUUUAUUUUAAAAGUAUUAAACUAAUUUUGAUGGAUUAAGUAAAAAUAUGAUUAAGAGUCAUUUGUGGAAUUUAUUUUAAUAAUUUUAUAAUAACUCUCAACCAAGGUUAGAGUUAUUUUUGUAAAACUAUAAUUACGGACGAUUGUUUUAAAAGUUAAUGUAAUUAAUUACAAACUCACUCUAAAUCAAUUUCUUCGUAAUGGGUGGAAAGAAGUUAGCAUUUAUUUUGGUAAGAGAAUGGUCCAUCUUGGCUGCUGUCUAGUAGUAUGUCCACUUGCAAAAGCAAAAUAUAAAAUAGUAAAAGAAGUUAUAAAGCAUUUUCAAACAUGGAAAAAGUUUUUUAUAUAUAUAUGGAAAUUUUCAAAUAUAAUAUAAUAAAUCAAAAUACUUAUAAAAUUUAAAAUAGACAAUAAUAAAUAUGGAUAGAUUUUCAUAUUCAUAGACAUUAAUAUAAAUCUAUCAAAAUGUUUAUCAAAUUUGUUCACAAUUUUUUUUCUAUAAUUUAGUUUUGAAAAUAGAAAUAAAGGAACAUUUUGAAACAUAACAAAAUGAACUAAAUAUUUAUAAAAUAUAACAAAAUUUAAUAUUAUCGUUGAUAGAAGUUUAUCGAUGAUUGUUUGGAUGCUGAAUUGAUAUAGCAUGUCUAAAGUCCAUAUGUUCGAGGAGUUUAUAUGUAUUGAGAGUUCUUUAUGUAUCUAUAAAUAUUUAUCACCGAUAGAAUUUAAAAUUAAUUUUAUAAUAAAUAUUUUCAACCGAUUUUCUAUUUACAAUGAUUAAAAAAAAUAAACUAAAAUAAAUAAUUAAAUAUAAAAUAUUAAUUUUGUUUGCCCACCAUCCACCUUUUAUUCAAGUCGGUAGGUCUUCAAUUCUUCCUUAGCUUGUCAUUUUGUGCAAAACUAUCACCCUUUAUUUCAAGUCAGUUGAUAACCUUAGUAGCAUUUCUACAGAUCAUGAUUAGUUGAAUAUUGAUAUUUUAAAUAAAUUAUAAAUAUAGAAAAAUAUAUCAAUGCUAAACUACUAAUAAUAUUGUCUAUCACGAAGAAUGCUAAACUACUAAUAAUAUUGUCUAUCACGAAGAGAUGUACUAAUUUAAUAGUAUUAAGAUGAAGUUACUAAAUUGUUGUUAAAUCAUAUGAUUUUUAUAUAUUAAAGUCGUACGUAUUGAUAUUUUGAAAGAAAAAUAAUUGAAACACUGAAUUCGUAUUGAAGUCGUUGAAGACACGUUAAAUAAAAUUACAACUAACCAUGAAUUAAUGGAUGAAAAUAAAAUGUUUUCUUAAAUUAAUAAUUGACUAAUAUUAUGAUUCAAAGACGAAAAUAGUUGUUCUCAAACAUAACCUUAAUAAGUAGUCAAUUGCAAAAAUAAUCCAACAGUUUGCUAUAAAAAGCCAUCUUAAGUAGUCAAUUGCAAAAAUAAUCCAACAGUUUGCUAUAAAAAGCCAUCAAAAGUUGGAGCAUUUCAACAAGCAAGUGAAACAAAUCCAGAAAAUAAAGAGUCACAAAAUGUCUCAUAAACAUUUGGUUAUUCUUCUUCUUGGAGUGAUUCUUCUUAGCACCCAAGUGAUUGCCCGGCCUUAUUACUUGUCGGAGAACCACCACAGACUGACUCCCUCCGCCACCGUCCCAUCGGCAGUCGGGGAAUCUUUGCAAAAACUCCCACCAUGGUUGAAGAAAAUUUUUCCCAAAAAGCCUCCCAAAAUCCCAAAAAUCAACUUGCCACCUCCACCGCCGCCGCGACGCAGACUGAAACCGCCUUCUUCCAACUGAUCAAUGCUAAAAAGUUGUAGUGAUUUGAAGGUGUUUAAUAAAUCAGCACCGCACCAUCACUGUGGUGUGUGCUCUCUCUCAACUCUCAAGCUUAAUUAGAUGAAUGAUUAUUGGAAGUUUAUUUUUAAGUAAUAUGUUUUUCUAAUAUUAGUACAAUCUAAUUAAGUACAUGUCUCAUGUACUGUGGGACCAUUUCUCUCUUUUUCAAAUAAUAAAUGGAAGGCAAGUGCUUGAGUAGUCAAUCUCAAAGAUGGUGUGUUGUCGUCCUUUGUUAUAUAAUAUAAAUUGAAAGAAUAUGAUUGUACUGUUUAUGAUUUGAUGAACUUAUUUAUAAAUAUAUCAAAAUUUAGACUUAUAUACACAACUUUCUCAUUUAAGUAAUAUCAGAAUAUAAUAUAUUAAGGGGAAAAAUGAAACUAAUAGCAUAGUUAUGAGUACUAACAUGUUGUUUGUCAUUGGAGAGAGUGUCAUCUUCGCAAAGUGACAAAUUAUUUCCAUGCAAUUUGAAUCAUUUGCCCAAGUGGACCACAGUAACAGUUUUGAUCCCGUGACAGACUCCAAUCAUAAUUCAUAACAAUAUGUUUUUUAAUUAGCAAUCAAAAAUCAUAUAAGGAAAAUUUGUCAACCAUAUUUGAAAAAUAGUCUUUCCACCCCAACCUAGGUAAAAAAAUUUAGACUGGCUAAUCGUUAAAGAUCUAAACAUUCCAUUGCAAAUUUAGAGGUGGUGUGACCCACUGAUAGCCUUAUGAUUAUCGCCUGAUGACCCUUCGGUAGCUCUAUGAUUAUCGUCUAAUAUCACUAAUUUUGGCAUAUUUGCAAUAUGCAAAAAAUUGAUGUCUUGAAUUGUUUUUUUAAAAUGUUUUUAUCAUUUGAUUCAAUUUUUAGUGUGUUUCAACGGAUAACAUAUAUUUUAAGUAGUUAGAAGAAAUAUUUAUAUUGUUACACAAUUUUUAUUGAAUUGUUUUCAAAUAUAUAAAAGUGAAAACUAAAAUAUAAGUCUAUCACUGAUAGACUAUGUUGCAAAUAUUGGUCUAUCAUUGAUAUACUAUUUGAAGUCUAUCAGCGAUACAAGUCUAUCAGUGAUAGUUUUGUUGUAUUUGCAAUUUUCAAUUUUCCUAAAAUUUAAGGUUUGAAUUCAAAAUCAUUUAUUAAACCUAAUAAUUCAUUGAAUAAAAAUGGUAUUUUUAUAUUUAUUAUUAGUUAAUACAAUUUCCAAAUAAAGUACACAAAAUUGGCUAAGCAGCCAUGUUCUAAUUGGAUAAGUAGUAUGACUUCUAAUGAAGUUGAUUGUAGGUUUGAGUCCCACUCGACCUGCUUCCUUUUUGUUUCCUAUCACUCACAUUCGUCAAUCAAGCUGGAUUUUGUGUCAUUUGUGUUGGAAAAAAUCUAGAAACCCCCCCCCCCCCCCCCCCCCCCCCCUCCCCUCAUUUUUUAAUUAAAUUUCUCCGAUUUUCAAUUUUUAUUCAAACAAUAUUUUUGAUAAGUCACUGUCAAAAAUUAAAAAAACAAGGAAAAACAAUUUAAAAAAAAAAAGGGAAAAAGGAAGCACGCCCAGUGGGACUCGAACCCACAAUCGCCUGAUUAGAAGUCAGACGCCUUAUCCAUUAGGCCAUGGGCGCUGAUUUGAUAACAGGUAAACAAAAUAAUGUAUCUAUCUACUCUUCAAACGUUUCAUAAUUGUCAAACCAAUGUUGUGUAAAUUAACUGUAAGAUAUUUUAGAAUGCAAAAAAUUAUUGGAAUUUAUGCAUGAAUGAGUAACAUAUUCAUCUAACACAUAUCUUCAUUCUCACAUGUCUAAAUAAAUAUUGUUACAGAUAAUUAAUUAUGGGUGUGUGUUAUAGGUUGAAAUCAUGUUAUCAAUAAUUAUGAGUCACUUGCUAUUAAAGCUCAAGUUCAUAACGAAAAAGCAAAACCUGAUAUCUCAAAAAGUAGUACUUUAUUCCCCUUUGGAUGUGUCAUUUCCAAAAGAAUAUAUAUACAUACAUAUAUAAUUUUAUAUAUAAAUGCUUGCAACCAGGCUUUCAAAUUGUAGUUGUGGUAAAGUAGUUAAUAACUUUUCCCACAUAUGUGCAUUGUUGAUAUCCAGUCGAAUGGGUUUGGACAUGAAAAUAAACAACUUUUUACCGUCUCUGUGUGUGUAUAUAUAUAUAAUUUAGUUUUGAGAAGAAAUAUACAAAAUUUCUCUCGUUUUCCUUCUCAUUAUUUUUUUUAGCCUACUUAAUUCUAAGUUGUUUAUUGUUUAAUUUUAGUAUGUAUUUUUUUACAAACGCAUGUAACGGAUGAGUGUUGUGUUAAAGUUGGGAUCAACCAACUUUUUAUGUUUUAGUAUCCACUUUGUAAUAUUUUUUUUCUUGCAAGUGACAGAAACUUGUUUGGUCCCCUUAGAAAGAUGACGAUCGAUCUUUUCCAUGACAGACAACAUGUUGAUAGUCAAUGUGCUAUUAAUAUGAUUAUUUCAUGAUUGUGAUCCCCUGUUAAAUCACAUUCAUUAUUAUUUUGUUAGGAUCACAUUAGUAGCACAAAAGUAAAUAUAAUUCAACAUUAAUUUAGCCUGUUGCGCUAAAAAAAACUUAUAUAAUGGAUCAUUAGUAUUUUAUUAGAAUAUUUUGACGAAUAUAAAAUUAAUUUUAUUUUUAUUUGAAAAAAGAUAAAAUAUCUUUCUUAUAUUUAUUAUCAUUUAUCAAUCUCUUUUAACAGGGAGUUAAAGAUUGAUCUUCCUUAAAUAUCUAGUUUAAAGAGAAAGAUAUUCUUCGUAUUUAGAAAUAUUUUACUGUAAAGUUCUUCUUUUUUGGCUAUUUAAAAAGUAGAAGUUCUCUAAACGUAAAAUUUAUUCUUCACGGCUGUUGUUCAAAAGUUUAUAUUUUUUUGUGAAGAAUCUGUACGAAGAUAAACCGGUUACCUACAGAUUAUUGAAGAUCGUCAAGAGAUUUGAGAGAGUAUCAAUUGAUAAGAAAUAUAAAUGAAAGCUGAGAUAAUUAUAUUGUGGUCAAUGAAUUCAAGGAGAGCCUAAAUUCGUCUUCGAGGAGAUUCAAAUUUACCGUUAGCUUUUCGAGGAGAUUCAAGUUUACCGUUAGGGGGAGCUUAAGUUUAUACGGUUAAGUUAUGGUGAUAACUUGUUAAUAUAACUUUCGUUAAGUUACAAACUUUUGAAUUUCAGUAAUACUUCUUACCUGAGCAAAGAAGCUUCUUAGAUGUAAGUCAUACUUUGCCGAACUAGGUUACCAAAGCCUUCUGUAUUAUCUGUUCGUUUUGUUACGUUUGUUCGUUUUUUUAUGUUAGCUAUUUCCUGAAGUUAAUAAUGUUAGUCAUAGAUGAAGGAUAUUAUUUAUCAUCUCACAUAUUUUUCAUAUUCAAAAUGAAAAUCAUUGAAAUAGAAAAGUUAGCUUACUUCAGUAGAAAUCUAUAAUCAAUUCCUUUUAAGUUGUAGAAUUAUUUUUUCUCGAAAUAAAAGUCUAACUUAUUAAGGUAAAAGAAGAGACAAAUAUUUUAUUAUAUGCUCUCAAAAUUACAAAAUAGUUAUAAAGUACGUAUACUAAAUGUAGAACUCGAACAACAUUUAUGUAUUGCCAAUAAUAAUUCUUAAAACAAUAUUAAAAUUUUUAUAAAAAGUACAAGAAAAAACCACAUUAUUUCAUAAAAAUAAACUUCCAAAAAUUAUCUAUCUUAAGCUUGAGAGAAGCACACACAUAGUUAUGGUGGUGCUGGUCUAUUGAACACACUUAUGGCAUUCAGUUCGAAGAAGGUGGUCUCCAACUGCGUACUGGUCGAGGUGGCGGUGGCGGUGGCGAUGGUGGUGGCGAUUUGACUUUUGGGAAUUUGGGAGAUUUUUUGGGAGAUUUUUUGGGAGAUUUUUUGUGAAAAUGUUUCUUAAAAAAGGGUAUGACUACUUUCCAAUAUGCGGCUGAGACGGUGGCGGAGGGAGUGAGUUUGUGGUGGUUCUCCGACAGGUAAUAAGGUCGAGCAACAACUUGGGUGCUAAGAAGAAUCACUCCAAGAAGAAGAAGAAUAACCAAAUACUUCUGAGACAUUUUUGUGCCUUUUUUUCUCUUUUUGUUUUGAGAUUCUCAAACUUAGGUGGCAUUUUAUAGCAACGAUUUACAUUAUUUUUGCAAUUGACUACUUAUUAAGGUUAUUUUUGCAAAGAAGUAAUCUUUUGGUCCUAAAAUCAUAACAUAGUCCAUGAUUAUUUUUUAAAUAUAAUUUCCUACGUAAUCGCAUAUCAUGAUUGUUUAGAAAAAGAAUUACACGAAGAAUUUUUUCCAUCGUUAAAAAGAACUACAUGAACAUGUAUAAUUUCUGACACAAUCGUGUAUCAUUUCUUACACAAUUGAUACACGUUUGUGUUUUAUGAUUGUUUAGAAAAAGAAUUACAUGAACCAUUUUUUUCAUCAUUAAAAGGAACUGCAAGAUCGUGUAUCAUUUCCUACGCAAAUACAAUCGUGUGUCAUGAUUGUUUACAAGAAGAAUUACAUGAACCAUUUUUUCUAUUAUUAAGAAGAACUACACGAUUGUGUAUCAUUUUCUACGCAUACGAUUGUGUAUAAUUUCCUAGAUGAUCAUGUAUCAUGAAUUGUUUACAAAAAGAAUUAUACGAAUCAUUUUUUCUAUCGCUAAAAAGAACUAUAUGAUCAUAUAUCAUUUUUUACACGACUGCGUAUUAUGUUCGUGUAUCAUGAUUGUUUAGAAGAAAAAUUACACAUGCAUAUGUGGUAAAGUGUUGAUACUAGCUACAUGAACCAGUAGUGGUAAUUGAAUGAAUGAAUUCUAUAAUAUCUCAAGUAUAAAAUAAUCAAACUUGUGAAUCAUUUGUGUGUUUCAAUCUUUUUUUACUCAUCUCCAUCAAUAUAUUGGACAUUCAAGUAUUUCUUCUUAUGAUUCAUUGUUCACAUGUCUUGCUUCUAUUUAAUGUAGAGUAAGUUAGCAUUUGGGUUUUUUAUUAUUGUAGCUAGUCGAUUAUUUAUUUAUGUAUUUACCAAAAGUAAUAAUAAUUAAUAAAGAAAACUACAGCUCUAAGGUGAUUUAGGGAAAAUCAUCAUUGUAUGAGUGCAAGAUCAAUUCCGUUAAUAAAACAAGUUUACUCUGCUUACGUUAUAAACAAACAAAAUUGAUAUUGAAAAUAUUUAUAAAUAUAGUAAAAUUUUAGAAUAUAUCACUCGUAGAUACUAACAAAUUUGAAUGAUGUAUGAUAGUACUAAUAAAGACUAAAAUGAUAAUUUUUUAAAUUUUAUUAUAUUUAAAAACAACUAUGGAAAAGUAUUUAUAUUAAUUGAAUAUAAUAUAUUUACGGGAAAUAAUGAAAUUGACAACCAAGUUUGACCGGUUCAAUCUACCUUCAAGUGACAAAUUCUCACUUUAAUUUCAAUAUCUUCAAUAACAUUUGCAAGUAGCCAAAGUCAAAUUUCAUUUAUUGGCUAUCAAAACUAGAAGAAACUUCUUAUCAUUAAAUAUAUAUUCUCUAUUGUAAAUACAUACUAAUUAAGAAUUAUUAUUCAUUUUAAAAUGACCGUUGAUACAUUAUUAUUCAUUGAAUUAUAAUAGAAUUGAUUUAAAGAACUACUAAUUGGCAUGGCUUAAUCUAAUCAAAUGAAUACUUUAUUACAUAUACUUACCUUUUAUAUUCAUGGUUUAUUAGCAACCACUAAAAAUAUAUAUCUUAUACUCAAUUGGACUAUAUAUAUACACAUAUGUUUAAUUUUAUUUCUUUAUUAAUGCGAAAGAAAUUAGGAAUUUGAACACUUUAAAUAUAUAUAUUAUUUGAAAGAAAAAAUCAUAAUUAUAACGAUUCAGAACAACUAUUCCAUUGCAAAUCAAAUCACUUAAAUCUGCACGCUUCAUUUUUUAAAAAAAAUCUCCACGCUUCAUUUUCCUUUGCCAAGAUCUAAAGGCCCAAAUUGAAUUUAGAUUUCACUAACUUUUUCAUUUUUCAACCAAUAAUUUUUAAUAUUUGCAAUCCUGCAUAACUCAAUAAGCCACCAUUGUUGCUUCUCCCCAAGCUUUCAUUUUUUUCUUCUAUCUUCUUCUUCAAAGAGAUAUAUUCUAUGUUGGAUGACUUAUUUGCUGUGAUUUAUUUUUUGAGUGUGUUAUUUAAUUCUUCCAAACCUAUUGUCAGGGGAUACUCUUGAAGCCAUAACAAAAGUGUUGUAAAGGCUAGAACCUCGAAGUGGAAAGGAUCAAAUUUGUUCUUGGGCACGAAAAAAGAAUAAUGGUGUGGUGGAUUGACUCUAACUCAUGAAUAGAGUUAAGUUUGUAGUGACAUAUAUCCAAAAGGAACUUGAAAAGUGGAUCAUAUAGAUGGAUUUUGUACCAAAAACGCUACAAAGAUAGCUAUUUAAUUUUACAAAGUAAUUUGUUUAUAUACUUCGUUACAUAUAAAAUUAUUCAUUUAGCCCUUGUGUACUUGUCAUCUAAUCUACACUUUGUAAUUGAUUUUUAAAAGAACAUUACACUACUACAAAAUUGGCAAUACUUGACACUUUUUACCUAUCAAGUAUUUGUUUACAUGACACUUUUAAAUGCGUCAAGUAAUCUAAUGUUAAGAAUAAGAGAAGUUUACUUGACAGUUUUUAAGCGUCAAGUACAAUUAUACUUGACAGAUAAAAAGUGUCAAUUGUAUGAGAUUACUUUAAACUUUUUACAUGUCAAGAAUAAGAAGGUUAUUUGUUUGACAGCUUUUAUGCGUCAAGUAAAUUUAUAUUUGCCAGUUUAUAAACGUCAAAAAUUUAUUUAUUCUUGACACGUUUUGUAUGACAAUAUUUUUUUUCUUUUAAAUAAAAAAUUGUACAAUUUGAAAUAUUCAUAUUAUUAUAUUACACCUGUUUUGAAGUCCAUUCACACACAUAUAAGUAGAGUCUUUGAGAUUACACAAAGUUGCUAAACUACGCAUAUUAAUUAAACAAUUGAAUCAACCCAAACUUUCCAUUAAAAAACUAAUACUUUAACAAAUUGCAUAUAUCACUGAACCAUACCUAUAGUUAGUCAUUACAAACUUAAUUACAAUAGCCCAAAUUUCUACCAUAUGAAGAUAUUGUUCUACCUAGCUCUAUGUCUAAUAUGAAAAAUCUUAAAGUCUGCAAAAUGUAAAUAUGAGAAAAAAGCUAACAUUUGGUCAAAGCUCUGGAUUCUUUCGUAACAUGUCCACAAUAAGUGUUUUCCUACAUGUAGAAAAGAGCAAGAGUUUCAACAUUAGAUUGCACAAGACAACUAACUAUGCUAAGCAUCAAUACAUUUAUUCUCAAUUACAUCAGUUUUUAUUCACUAAAACUAAGCAAACCAUAUAAAGAAAGAAGUCAUGGAAGGAACAAGUUAUUCAAAAUCACUCAAAGAAUAAGCUAAGCAAAAACAUAGAAAAAUUAAAAGAAAAGAAAAAAAAGAACUGCUUGAAGUUCAUAUUUAAGUUUUUUCCUAUGAGAUAUGGUACAGACAACUAACUAAAAUGAUGAAAGAAAGCAAGUCCAACAUACUAUUUUUUUUCCAUUGCUGAAAGGUAAGCUUAUUUAUUCUAAGAACUCAAGAAAAGUAGGAACUCAAUUUAACCCUCUUCACCAGAUUCGAACAUUCAAAUCAUGCAAAUAUUAAUACUGUAAAAUUACAUCUAGACUUUAAUAAAUACCACAAGAAACCAAAGGUAAUGAUUUCAUAUAAGAGACAUAGGGAUGGGUUGGAAUUUUUUUAAAAAAACGGUCAACUGUUUUCAAAACAAAGAUUUAGUGAAGACAUCUUCAAAUAACCAUACAAUUACUUAACUUCCUAUAGUUAGUUGUAUUAAUAGCACAACUCGUGUUUUUCUUUCUAUAAUCAUGGAUAUAUGUAAAGUUUUUUAACAACACUAAAACCAUGACAUUUUUUUCAUAUGGCACUAUAGAACUAAUUUGAUAAACAAUACAAAACAAACUCUUGGUAGAAAAAAAUGUACCAUACAAAUUCUUGAUAGUUGACUUUCUUCCAUGUGUAAUGGUAGGUCUUCCAUUAGUGUAAACCUAAACAAAGCAUGAAAGAGAAAGAACUCAAUCACCAAUCAAGAAAAAUUAUCAUAAAUAAUAAUUGAAAAAAGGUUUACAAAUAUUUCUAAUGGAUAUCCUGUUUUCUAAGUCCAUUAACAAUGGUCCAAAUUUGGUACUUCACAAAAAUAAUUUUUCUUGGUGGACAAUGCCCAUAAAGAUAUAACUUUUCUUGAUGGAUCUUGUCCAUGAUUUUUUUUUUCUUUUUUUGUAUUUGUCUAUCAACAAAUCCUAAACCCAUCCAGAAAUUUAAUAUAUAUAUAUAUAUAAAAUCAAGAAAAUUCAUCUCUUAAUGGGUCUCGUCCAUAAAAAAAAUCUAACUUGUUAGACAUUGUCAAUCAACUAAUAUAUUAUCUUUGAUGUUUAUUCUCCAUCGACAAAUAAUUUUCUUUACGCUUGUGGACCAUCAAUAAAACUAAGGAAACUUUGUCCAUCAAGAAAAUAAAAAAUUCAUAUUUUUUUUUAGGUUUUUUCAUAUUUCUUCAACAAAAUAAGUGAACUUUUCUUGACGUACAUGACCGUUUUUAUGAUGUUUAUGUGCAUUCCUUCAUUUAUAGAUUUUUGUGAUGUCUAGGAGCAAGCCAUCGACCGAACAAAAAAGUUUCAGAGAAAUUGAUGAGAAUUCAAAUAUGAAGAACGUAAAAAUGGGAGACUAAAAAGAACAGAUCAGAAGCGUCGUUUCCAAAAAAUAACAAAGUGGCAUGAUGAUGCUAAAGAACUAGGUUUUUCAUUUUUUUUUUUUUAUUGCUUUGUAAUUAAGUAUGCUUUUGAUAUAAAGAUGUAGGGUGUGCUUAGCAAUAUAUAGUAUAUUAUGGAUCUUAUAAUUGAGGGAUGAAGGAAAAAAAAUGUCUUUCUCCUUUUGUAUUAUCUCAAAACAAUAACUAAUUAUAAUUCUUGAGAAAUGUGUUAAAUAAUUAUACUUCUUGAAUACGGUAGAAUAUGGUAGAAGUACAUAAAAUAAAUAAAAUUAACACAAAUGUCCAAAUAAUAAUAAAGUCAAUACAUGUUGAUGUCCAAAAUUCCAAUCCAUUUACACAUUUGAUAUGCAAGAGAUACAUGUAAAAAAAAAACCUACACACUUAUCUAAAGUUUGAUUGAAAAGAUUGUUUCAUAAUCAUACUAUCAAAUUCUUAAUAUAUUUUAAUUAACUCAUUUGAUUUAUACACACUCGUAUAAGAAAUCUUGAGUAAGAGGUCUCUACAAAAUAAAGCUCCAAAAUGUAAUUCCAAAAAUCAUGAGUAAAGAAACGUAACUUCAUAUUAUUUGUAUAAUUAAUUACUCUCUUAAUUUUAUUUAGUCAAAUAAAAUAAAAAAUUGGCGUGUGUAUAGUAAGUGUUAUUAAGAUUUUGGAAACUGUUCACAACUAAGUUUUGUUUAUAAUUUCAUCGUAUUUGAUUCCCAAUUCUCGAAUAAAUAUCCAAAUUGAAAAUUAUUCAAAAUCCAAACAUAAAUAGAAAUUAUAGAUAUACACAAAUUGGAACCAGCACAAUGCCUAGCCACAAAAUCUAGAAAGGUUAAACGUGUCCCAGUCUCAAUUCAAAAAUAUCCUAUGCAACUUCAAAUUUGUCCUAUUAAAAUACUUAGUUCCAUUGGAUACUCCAACUAGCUGUUUAAUUGGGUAGGUCUUAUUAACUCAUUCAGUUCCUUCCUAAUUCUAAUUCUACGGUUAGCUAUAUUUGAAUCAAAGUUUAGUAAGUCAAGUGAUCACUUAAAAAAGUUUUUUUUCUUGUUGCAACUUAUAAAUGUUAUAAAUGUAAAUUAGGAGUAAAUUUAGAUAUUACCUUAUUUUCUUGUAUUUAUUCGUUAAUGUACAAUUAGUUGUUCAAUUAAAACUUAGAGAUCACUCAUUUACCGAAGAAUAUUUAUAAAAUAUAACCAAAUUUUGUAUUUUAUUAUUAAUAAAUAUUAUUGAUGCAAAUUGAAAUUUUGUUAGGUUUUUUAAAUUCAUUGAAAAUGUCCUGAAGAUUUAUUAUGUGAUAUAUACAUUUUUUUGAAAAAACAAAAGGAAAAGAUUGGAAAGAGGUUACACACGCCAAAUCAUUAUCUACGUUAAAAGAGAUACUUUGGCUAUACAAUACAGUACAAUGGCUAUACAAAUAUUUUUCCCAAUAAAUCAUUGCAGCUAUGAACUCGUAAUGGAGGGUUAUAAUAAUAAUUAAAAAAACGGUUGUUACUAAAGCAAGCAAUGAAAAAUAUAAGUCAUUUAAUAUUUAUAGUUGUUUUCAGUAUAGUAAAAUAAAUCAAAGUAUUUAUAAAAUUAAAUAUAUUAAAAUUUUAAAUUCUAUUAAUAUUUAGUAGGCACCCAUAAUUUUUUUUUUAAUGUUGAUAAGUUGCUGAAAUCUUUUUAUAUUUAUAAUUAUUUUAAACAAUUUUAUCAUUUAAAAUUAAAAACAAUAACAGCUUUGAAUUUGAAAAAAAAUUACAAACAUUGUAAAAUAUUAUAUUUAUAAACUAAUAUGUUAAAAAGAUUUGAAUAUAAAAAACUUGCCCUCAAAACACCUACCUCAUUAAUGGCAAAAUAAUAACCCCGUAAAAUGCUAUAAAAGGCCACAACGUAUGAGGUUCCCAGUAGGAAAAACUCAAACUCCAAAAGCCACAAUGUUUCUCAAAUACUUCCUUCUCCUUCUUCUCGCAGUUGUGCUUCUUACCACAACACAAGCCCUGAAACACCCCUCCAACUCCAACCAAGAAGUGAUUCCAACCACCGACGUCACCCACGGAAAGCUCCCGACCACCAUCACCGAUCCAAACGAAGAAUCCAAAUUCUACAGGAGGCCGUCUCCCUACAAGAAGCCUUACAAGAGGCCACCCUACAAGAGGUAUCCACCCUACAAGAAACGCCCUCCAUACAAGAAGUACCCACCAUCUUCCCACUAAAUGGCAUCCAAAACCAAAGUGGAGGCCAUGGACAAUUAAUGUAUCAUCUGUUUAAUUUCUUUGAUAAAUAAGUGGUGCUACAAGCUCCAAGGGUAAUACUAGGAAGUUCAUGAUGUUGGCCUUUUGAAUUACGUAAUAUCUGUUAAUCCAAACUUCAUAUGUGUGACAUAUGGUUUGUAUUUUCUGUGUUAUUGCUUCACUUAUUGUGUAAUAAUUUAAAGUUCGAAUGGAUUUAAUAUUUUGUUUCAACUAUGUUAGUCUUCUUUUUAUACUCUUUAGAUUUAGAUAUUGAAAUUGUACUGAUUUCAACAUUCAACAUGUAGGAGAGAAAUUUGAACAUUGAACUGUGAUCUUUUUCUUAAUACAUAUUCAUCAAAUUAAAAUAUAUAUGUAUUUAAAUUAACAAUUUCAUAUAACUAAUGUAUUAGUUAUUAAUUAAUUUUGAAACAUAAAAACAUUUAAGAUAUGUUGAAUGAGAGAGCGAGAUGUUUCCUUUUGAGAUUAGACCGGGCUAAUUAGUUAUAUGAUAAGAAUAACAAUUAGGUUAACUAAAAUAUAGUAAAUACUUAUGCUAAUUAAAUUAUAUGUUUUGAGAAAUUUUCACAGUUGAACUAUUUAUAUAUAUCGACAAAAAGAUACUCAUAAACCAUGAUAGACUUCUUUCAUAGUUUCUAUUAUUGAUAGUAUCAAUAUUUAUAAACUUCUACUAGUUUCUAUCCAUCGUAGAAAUUGAUAGAUUUCUUUUCAACCUCUAUCAAUCAUAGAUUUCAAUUAGUUUCUAUCACUAAUUAACUUUUAUAUCAAUGUUUAUCAAAGUUUAUCAAUGUCAAACUUGUGUAUUAAUUUCUAACAUUGUUAGACAUUGAUAAACUUCAAUUAGUGUAUAUAUGGAUAUAAUGAAAGUAAAAGUUUUUUAUAUAACUGUAAACUGCUUGACCCAUUUUUCUACCUUUAAAAUUUCUUAAUUAAAAGCAUACUUUUUUGCUUUUGUUUUUUGGACAAUUAUUUAUAUUCAUUUAGUAAAAAAGAUAAAUAACAACCAACAAUAAAAAAAAUCACUAUUACACAAUUAUUUAUAUUCAUUUAGUGUUAGAAUAAUAUGAAAGUAGGUUUUGAAGCGUAUUUUUAAUCAUAUUUAUAAAACAUGUAUUUAAAUAAAGAAAAAAAGAAAGUUAACAAUUCAAAUUAGACUAACAAUUGAGGAAGAUUUGAUUUCUUUUCCCAAAAAAGGAAGGAAAAAAAAGAAAGAAAAAAAAAAACUGUCUAUUCCAUCCCAUCACAGAUAUGUGUUCUGUGGGUCUAAAAUAUUAAUAUUGUGUAUUCCUCUAUAUAAUUGUAUUUUGGUUUUGUUCAUAACUUCAGACUUCACUUCAGUCAUGCAUGACGUUACUAUAAGAUAAGCUCACAUGCUCACAUAACUCUCUCCAUCACUCACCAUUAUCUUAUUGUUCUAAAAACAUACUUCCAUUCUAAAUAUUCUAAAUAUAGAUUUCCAUUAUUAUGUUUAGUGUCGGCAAUGUGUUACUCUCCUCCACUUCUAAUUCUCUUGCCAAACGUUGUGAGGAUAUCAAUUCUUAGUUUUCAUAUAAUCAGAGUGUCAUUUGUUGAGUUUAGUAAAUUAAUUAUACAUCGCAUAAUUUCUAGAGUUAGUAGAGAUUUUUUUAAGAUUUCUUUAUUUUUUUUUCUUAUUUUCUUUUAUUUUUUUAUUUAUAUUAUUUACAUACUAUAUUUUAAUUAUUUUAGUGCUAUAUUUUUUCGUUUUAUGUGUUCCAAUUUUGUCUCAUUUUUACAUCCCCUUCUUAUAUGAGAUUUAGUUUCAUUUUCUAAAACUUUUUUCAAAUAUAUGUUAUAUAAAUUAUAUUGUAAAUUGAUAUAAAUGAUGUUAUGUACAUGGUUUAUACUCUUACGUAUUAUAAAUCGAGUCAAUUUUAAUCCUAUUUUAAUGAUAGAAAAAUCUCUCUAGAGGAUCGUUGGGUCUACCAACUUAUCUAAGUUAGUAUAAGCACAAUUCAACUUAAUUCAUAAAACAUUAUCGAACUUUUACAAUAUAUCAAUUAAUUUUAUCUUCAUUUUAUUUAUCUUCUCAUACCAUAUAAUACUCAUAAUUCAAGAAAAGCACACAACACCAUGAGUACAUUUGAUUGUAACACAACACAAUGACACUCUCGAUUAUUCUACCAACAUCGAACUUGAUGAACGUAAAUUUGUCGUGAACCUCGUGGCACAACACCCUAACACCGUGUCUAUAAAAAGAGUGUUAGCCCUCCUAGUUAUCUCUCUAGGAUUGCAACUGAUUCCAAUGCUUUUUCGGUUUACUUUUCUUCUCUUUUUUGUCAGUGCUGGUAUCAAAAUUCUAUCCAACUUAUCGACAUGUCUAUUGUGGGGAAAAGAUAACAUUUUCUAGCCUGGAUUCUAAGAUUUUUUUCUGGUUCUAUGUACUUGGAAAACCACAAUAUUGUAAUUAAUGAACUGAAUUUUUUCUUCAUAGUAUUAUCAUAGGCUUGAUGAGAUUGUAUGAUAUUGCUGUCUAAUUCGUGAUACUUGAUUAUAUAAUAUUAAUUCAUAGGAAUGAAUAUGUUAGGUUAACUUAGACAAUCAAAUAAAAUAAAUAUUAUCCUAACCAAUCUAACACUAAAUCCAAUAAAUAUUUUAUUUAAGAUAUUAGAGAAUUAGAUAUUCACUUAAACAAUAAUUUAAAUCUUAACGCGAUUUGGAACGAAUCUAAAUUAGUAUGUUACUCCAAUUUGAUUUAAACUGAUUAGUAUAUUAGGACAAGUUAAUUUGCGUUUUAAUUAUUAGUUUGGUUAGUUGUAAGCACUUACAUAAGUUCAUUUUAUUUAGUUUUUUUUUUCGAGUAACAUUUUUUCUCAUAUGAACAAUUUUUAAAAAUAUUUUAAUUACUUAAACAACAAGUUUGUUUUUAAUGUGAGAUAUUUUAAUUACUUCAUCAACAAAAGUAUUUGUUUAAAUUUCUUUUAAAUCAAAAUCAAUUCUCGUAUAAAGUUCACCAAACUCUAUCGAUAUAUAGGAUUUUUCACUCUCUAUGAUAGAUCAUCCAAGUAGACGCAUCCAAGAAAAAAACUGUAGCAGAAUUUUGAUUGAAACCUUUACGUUCAAGUAAAUACUUGCAUGAAGAUUAUAUUACCUGCCAUAAAAAUGGAUAUAAGAGAUUAAAGACAACUCUAAUAAUUGAAAGCUUCAGUUAUCUACCUAUAUCUAAAAUUUUCAAUUUAUCGAAAGAUUAAAGUUGCAAAAUAGAACUAUAGCACAUUAUCUUUGUUUUUCUUUAAAAACUAUGUUCUCUAUUCGUACUAAUUUUGUCUUCUUUAUAAUGAAUGAAAACACACUAUUUAUGUUCAAAAGAUUUGUCAUUCAUAAAAUGUUUAAAUUCUGUUUUUAUUUCUAAACUUUGUAUCUUUCUAUCUUGAUCUAUAAAUUUUAUAAAUAUCUAUUUUAAUCUUUAAGUUUUUUUUACGUUGGUAUGUAUCAUUGGGAUCUUAUUAACUUUUUAACAUAUGACAUAUAUCAAGAUGAUAUAGAUUUAGUAUAUUACUUAAAUUACAAAAAAAAAAUUACUAAUUUAUUGUAUAAAACUUGUAUGUCAACUAAAAAACCUAUUUAUAAUAUACUAAGAAAAAUUAAAAUGGUUGUAUUUGAUAAAAUUAGACAAAACAACUUGAAUAUAAUCAAUAAUAUCACAUUAUCUUAUAUUUGCACCUAGUUCAAAAUAUCAGUCUAUAAAGUAUUCAAGUUCCACGAAGACAAUAUAUUAAAAAUAGCUAAACCCUACACCUAUUCAAAAAUGAAAAAAAAAGUAACAAAUAUAAGCAAUAGACUCAAGAAAAAAGUUUAAUAAACGUAAGUAAAAAGCUCAAUAUAUUAAAAAACCAUAUCUUCUUUAGGUAGAAAUAUACUUGCGCAAAAUAUAUAUUUGUCAGUUUAGAAUUAUUGUGUAAUCAAACCAAUUCAACUAUUAAAGAAAAAUUGGUUUAGCUCCUUUUUAAAACUAAUCUGCUAUUAUUAUCAAUGAGGAGGUCAAGAAGUUAUUCAUUAUUAAUGAAGCUUUCACUAAAUAAUCAAACAUAAAAGUAAAUCUAAGAGUGAAAUUAAUUAGAAUCUAAAUAAGACUUAAAUUGAAAGAAAAAAAAAAAGAAGUUGAUUCUAAUGAUUGUCAUCUUAAUGGGAGAAAAUGGUAGGCAUAAUUAGGAAAAAUUAGCAAUAAAAAAAAAAAGUGCACAAAAUUAUAGCAAAAACAGUGAAUUAGUGCAAAAAUAAAGAGUAAAAUGCCAAAAAUUGACCAAUUCAAAAUUGAGAGAGAGAAAUGAGGACACCAACCUUGAUGGGUAUUGGAUUUCAACUUUUCAAGGAAAAAUCCAGCCUUAACAUUAUUCCAAUCUUCGUAUGAGAUGGAUUAAGAAAAGGAGUUUGGAAAGAAACAAGUAAAAUAAAUUAAAACAUCAACUAACAUGGAACUACCACAAUACUAUUAUGACAAAGAUAUGAAAUGAAACUUUAACACAAUUUUAUAGAGAAUUUAAUGAUUUUGGGUAAAUAAUUUUAAUUUUCUUUUUUCUUUUUUUGCUAUUUAGACAAGUUCUCGUGAAUUAAAAACCAAAGUACAAGAAAGAAAGAAGAAAACUUGAAUAAAUAAGGUGUGAAUUCAACUCAAUCAUAACUUAUUCAUUUCCACCAAAAAUAGUCAUUCUUAUUUAUAAAAAUAGUAAACUCUAAAAGAAGUGUUCCAAAAAUUAUUUAAAUAGAUUAUCAAACAUUUCAAUUUUUUGUAAGUAACAAACUUAAAAUGUUAAACCAAACCCACCCAUAACUCACUCCAUAAUAAAUUAAGAAAAGAAUUAUAUUCUAAUAUUACCAUGUUCUAAAACCCUUUUAUCUUUUAUCUUUUCUUUCUUUUUUUUUAAUUUAAAACGGUGGAAAUUUAAAUAUUGAAGUUCAUGAAUUAACCAAUUUUUGUAGGUUCACACUCUAAACUCCAAUUGCUUAAGAAAAAAAACAAAUUUUAGUUUUUGGUUCUUGGUCUAGUUUUUCUUUGGUCUUUAAAAUCCAGAUAUUACAAUGUCAUCCUAAGUCUUGAGUUUAUUUUGAGUCCAUUUCAUAAUCUUUAUAAUUUAUCCUUUAAAUUUGAGAGCUUCUUGUUAAUUUAAGUUUAUAACAAUAAAAUAUUUAUUUCAAUAUUUAGAAUUAAUUCAAAUAUUAAUUAAUUGAGAAUUUAAACUAAUAUAUUUUUUUAGUUAACUAAAGAUUUGAACUACUUCUUACUUUCUAAUCAAAUACAUAUUAACUAGCUUACAUCCAAUGUUAAGUGUUAUCAUUUUCUUACCAUAAUUUGCAUAGUUAGAUUUCAAAUUAAAAGUGUUGAGUAAGAAAUUUCGGCCAAUUAAAUUCUGCCACAUCAUCGCAACAAAUAUUCAAUAAUUAUAUUUUAUUGGAUUUUGAUAAUUAAGUUUAAUCCAACCCAAUUCAAGUCCAAUAAACAGAUUAGCCAAGUCCAAGCUUAACAAGCAGAUGGGCUCAAGCCCAAGUCCAAACCCAAUAAGGAAAAUGGACCCAAGCGUAAGCCCAACAGGUAAAUUGGUCAAAGUCCAAACCCAACAAGCAAAUGGGCCAAAGCCCACCUAAAGCCCACAAAAUUUCUCUAUAAAUAGAGACAUUUGUCAUUCAUUUGAGAAGUUCUUUUUUUGAAUGAAGAAUUGAAGCUCUGAAGUACUGAAGAAUUGAAGAUUCAAACUUCUAUAAAGCUUUCAAGACGUGCAAGUUCUUAUCAACUUCGAGAUCAUCAUCUUCUGAAAGAUUGAAGACUUGGAAGAUCAAACUUUUCUUGAAUUCCAGAAGACUGAAACUCAAAUAGACUUGCAACUACAACAUCCUAAAGACCGAAGAUAAAAAAAUUCUAAGUUUUUAACUUGUAUUCGAGAGAAAGCAUCAAAUGAGCAAAUACUAGAGAUUGUAUUCACAAUAUUCAUCAAUAUGCAAAUUUCAAUUCCACGAAAUACAUUUCUUCGAAAUGUCGUGUGAACAAAAAGUAAAUAGCACGUUUUUAAAGACUACUUAUUUUGUAUUUUCAAAAUUUAGGUUGAUUCUUUAAAAUAGUAGUAAAAAGUAGAUAAGAAAUAAACAAAUUUAGGUGCUCCAAAAAAAAAAGGAAAUUUAAUUUGAAAAAACUAAAGUAAGAAAAUUAAAUAACACUAAAGAGGCUUAAUUUUCUAAUUCUAAUGUUACCAUACGAAACAUUAGGGGGAGAGAAAAUGUUAGGGGAAAGGGUUAUGUAACCCUUCCCCAAUUUUCUCAAUCCUUCCUUAACUUCCUUAUUCAUUUUUUAUUCCUUACUCAAUCCUUCCUCCUUCCUUCCUUCUUCCUUCUUCCUUAUUCCUUAUUCCUUAUUCCUUAUUCCUUAUUCCUUCCUCAAUUUAUCAUAAUUAAUCCAUUUAAGUUUAUAUAUUAUUUAAUCCAUUUUUUUCGUUUAUAAAUUUUAUGAUUGUGAGUUCGGUUAAUUUUAAUCUUAUUAUUUAAAAAACACAACAAUUUAAUCACACAAAUUAUGUAAAAAAGCUUGAAAAUAGAUGUCAUAUUUAAAGAAAUUAUUACAAAUUGUUUUACCAAAACUAUGACAAUUUAGUAAAUUAAAUAUACAAAAUUUUUGUAUUAGAUUUAGAAUAUGAAUUUUUUAUUAAAAAAAUUAAUAAUUUAAUUGUACCUAUCGAUUACGUAAAAAAGGUUGAAAAUGAAUGUCGUAUUUCAAGAAAUUACUAUAAAUUAUUUUAUGAAAACUAUAGUGGUUUUGUAAAUUAAAUAUAUGAAUUUUAUGUAUUGGAAUUAGAAUAUGAAUUAUUAAAAAUAAUAAUAUUUUUUGCUUGUACAUUGUGUUCCAAUGAAAAAGGAUGUCGUAUUUGGUUUAAAUCAAUUGUAAAAUAUAUGCAAUCUGUGUAUUGCAUUUAGAAUAUCAAUUAAAAAACAAAAAUAUAAUAUGAAUUAAAAAACACAACAAUUUAAUGGCACAUAAUGAUUACGUAAAAAAAAGUUGAAAAUGAACGUCGUCUUUGAAAAAAUUAUUGAAAAUUGUUUUACGAAAACUAAGAUGCUUUGGUAAAUUAAAUAUAUAUAAUUUGUGUAUUGAAAUUAGAAUACUAAUUUUAAAAAAAUAAUAAUUUAUUGGCACUAAACGUUUGCAUAAAAAACGUUGAAAAUGCACAUUGUAUUUAAGAAAACAAAUGUAACUUGUGGCGAAAAAUUACAAUUUGAUAAAUUAAAUAUAAGAAUAUUUGUGUAUUAGAUUUAGAAUACAAAUUUUUUAAAAAUAAUAAUAAUAAAUAAUUUUCAUAAUUGUUUUCACGCAAUCCUUCUCCCAAAGAAAUAUUAUCAUAACACUACCUACUAUAAUUCUUCCCUAAACACAUACGACCAUAACACUACUAUUCAUAAUUCUUCUCCCAAACACAUAUUAUCAUAACACUGCCAAUAAUAAACCUCUUCCAAACACAUUUAUUAUAACAUUAGAAUUAUCAUCAUCAUUUUAGUCGGUAACUUUUUUUUCUUUUCUGUUGGAGCGCACCUAAUAAUUUAAUAUAGGCUAAUUUGUUCCCAAAAUAGAAUCAUUAUUUUACAUAUAAUUAUAUUAAUUGAACGGAAACGUAAUUUGAAGAGCAUGAGAAACAAAAACGUUUCCAAAACAACCAAUUUAGAAAAUACAAAAAAUGAGGUGGAUCUUCUUGCUCGACAACAACGCUCAGAAACGCCAUGGCAACUGGUGCGUCUCUUCAUCAAUCCCUCCACCACGUAUUCUCUUACCAUCGCCGCCCUCCACUUGCCUCACUAUUCUUUGGAAGCCUGAUAUCUUUGGAAGAUUGAAUAGGAAAACUCCAUAAUAACCCAAGCUUACUAGACUUUCUCAUAUAUAUUCUCAAUUGUUACUUGUAAAUUGAUUUUAUGCUGUUUAAUUUUAUGUACAACCAAAACAAUUUCAAACGGCGCUUUUAGUUCCCUCUGCGUUCGACAUGUGUACCAACGCUAUUACAUUUUUAGUUAAUAGCGAAAACAAUUUAGUUUAUCCAAUCCGAAUUUGGACGAAGAAUUUCAAGUUGUUGAAGAAAGAAGUCGGUUGGGUUGAGAUGGUAAUAUAAGAAACAAAAUAUGAAACCAAAAGUUCCAUAUGUCAAUGCCAUUGUGAAAAAAAUAGGAUGAGAAAUGAGGAAGAAGGAGAAAUUUUAAAAGAGAAAAUAAAAAACUUGGUAAAUAUAUAUUUGCAUAAAUAACCAUAAUAUUGUAAAAUGAAGAAAAAGAAGUGAAAAGACCGUCCACGUAAACUUAAAAAUUUUGAAAUAUAAUAAGUUUUUUUAUUUUGUCAUACGGAUCAUAAAUAUUUGGAUGUAAUUUCGUUAUAUAUCGAUCAAAAUUGACCAAAUAUUAAAUAUAUAUAUAUAUAUAUAUAUGAAACAAUUUAAUAAAGGAGGUAAGGAAUAAAAUAAACUAAGAACUAUUGAACAUCUAAAUAUGAAAAAAUAAUUUUAAAAAAAUCAUCAAUGUUGAAAACUGAACCCAUGAAUAUUAAUAUAUAGGACAAAAUUUGUUUCAAGCAUAACUCCACACCAAUGUGGUAAUUAGAGAUUUUAGAAAAUAAAAAAAGUUAAAUUAAAUUAAAUAGAAACGAAAUUGUGAUAAAUCACUUCCCAUAGUUCCUCAAUUUUUAUCCAAAUUUAUGAAACGUUCCUUAAUAUUUGAGAACGAAAAAUGUGAACUGUUAUCAAACAUAUAAGUUUCUUAAAAAAUGAGAAACAAAUACAUAAAACAUGAAAUAAGAACUUAUCAAACAAACUCUAAAAUUUUAGAAUUAUGUUCAGUACCAACCUCUUCUACCUUUUACCUUUUUUUUUUAAUACAAGAAGUGUUAGAUGUCAUACCAAUAUUUACUAGUCAAGCUUACUUUAACAUAAUUAUAUUAAAUACAAUGUAGGCUCAUAAAAUGUGUUAGAAUGAUUCAAGGACCUAUUAAGCUUGUUCCUCUUGAUUACGUGAGUGAUCAAACCAUAUCCUAAUCAUGUUCACAUAUGCAAUAUAAGUAUACUAUAAAUUUAGUUCUUAAACUUUUCAAACUAUAUGUUAGUAAAAUUUAAAAAUUUUCAAAACUUUAUUUAUGAAUAAUUGCAAGUAAUGUAUUGAGAGUAUAAUUUUCCUUGCAAAUUAAUUUUCAGUCUAGUUUGUUUAGAGUGCAACAAUUACUAGACAGUGUUAUCUAGUAAACAUUCAAUUACCCGAUACCCACUCGAUAUAUGGGUACAAAUUAAUCACGAUAGUACAACUUAUAUAACAAGUGUGUGUUUGUGUCUCACUAGUGAGAAUAUUUGAUUUUGAUUAACAAAGCUUAGUAAACCAUUACCCAUACAAUGUCCUUAAGUUGGCUUUCAUUGGAAAAGGUGAAAUAACUCUACAAAUCUUUUUCUAUUUCAUUUUUCUCUCUCUCUCUUAGAUAGAUUUUUCAUCGACAUAUUGGAUCCAUUGACAAUAGCCAUUCUAAAUUUGUCAUUUUGAAAAAUAGCAAAACCGUUUUUUUUUUAAAUAGCAAAAUGAAAAAAAAUAUACAAUAAAGAGAAGAAUUUGUAAAAGCUCUUGUACACAUGAAGUGUAAGCUACUUUCUUAAUUCUAAAAUAGAAUAAAUACACUUUAAUAAAUCAUGAAUACAUACUUGUUCAAUCAAAAUCUUAACCCUCCAUCUUCAUUUUCCACGAUCAAAGUCAGAACUCUUCAUUUUCAUUUUUCAUACGCGUUGUAACGAUUUUUGUUUUUCGUUGUUUCUCAUCUUCCAUUUUGAAAAUCUUCCUUCGUCUCUGUUUUCCAUUUAAUUUUUAUCUCAUCUUCUUCGAGCAGGCAAACCUAAUCUUUCCACUUUGAAGCGAGCAAACCCCAAUCUCCACCCUCUUCCAUUUGAAGUUUCAGUUUCAUCUUCAUCAUGUAUUUUAAAAAAGAAGAAUAUAAACAUUUGAAGCAUGCAAACAAUAUCUUCAUUUUGCAUCUUCCAUAUUUGAUUUUUAAGUUUACAACUUGCAAUCUCAAAUGCUUAGGGUGGAAGAACAAAAACCUUCACUCAUAAUAAAAAGAUACAAAAGUUAUCUUCCUUGUCUCGAAGGGAAAUUUUAGCUUAUUUUUUUAAAAAAGUUAUUUAUAUUAAUUAUUUAAUAAAUUGUAGAUGAAAUUUAAGAGAUUUUAUAUAAAAAGAAACACAAUAUCUUAGCCUAUUAUAAUGAAAAAAUAAAUUUAAUUUUAAAAAAUAAAUUAAGAUCUAAUACGAAAACUAAUUUUAAUUUUUAAAUUAUUAAGGGCGGAAACAUUCCACUUAUUAUGAAAUAAAAAAGGGUUAGGUUUUAAUUUCCAAAUAAUAAAGGAAAAUUUAAGAUCUUACUAUAAAAACUAAUUUUAAUUUUAAAAUUUAAAAUUUAAAAUUUAAAAAUAAAUUAAGAUCAAAUAGAAAACUAAUUUAAAUAUACAAAUUAUUAAGGGUUGACAAGAGAUUCAGCAGAUUUUGAAAUAAGAAAGGUUGAGAUUUAUCAAAUAAAAAUUAAUAUUAUGAUUAUUUUGAAAUAAAAAAAUGAAUAAAGUUAUUAAAAUCUUUAACGAAAUAAAAAGAUGAAUAAUGUUGUUGAUAUCUUUUAAAUUUUGAGAUAUUAGGAAAAUGUUAACGAAAUAAAAAAAAUGAAUAAAGUUGUUGAUAUCUUUUAAAUUUCGAGAUAUUAGGAAAAGGUUAUGAUAGAGUUUAUUAACAUUGAAAUUAAUUACAUACUCAUAAUUGUAUAUCACAAAUUAAUUAUACUAUAAACUCAUCAUUGUAUAUCACAAGUUAAUUACACAUAAAAAAACUUUUGAUUACAACGCGAUAUAUUAAAAUAAUUACAUUAAUUACACUUUUAAACUAGAAAUUAUAAUUUAAUUAAUGUCUUUAAGUGAAAUGAACAUGUUUUGGUAUAAAAUUCUUUUCAAACAUAAUCAAUGUAAUUGUUUUUUAUUUUAAAUUCAUUUACAUCAUUAUAUGAAUUAAUGAUAUUGAACUAAUUAUAUAUAUAUAAUGUUAUAUUUUUAAAAUAAGUUAAUUAGAAUUUAAUAAAAACAUUGAAAAACAAAUAAGCGAGUUCUCACUCGAAUAAAAAGUAAAGAAAAUUUUAAUUUAAAAUAAUAAUUUGAUUAUUUUUAUAAUUUAAUGAAGGAAUGUUAUUUUGAUAUUAAAACUUAUUUUGAAAUAAAACCAAUUGUUGAAAUUCUCCUAAAUUCAAAAUAAUAAUUGGAUUAUUCUGAAACUGCGUUUUAAAAAUCAAUCGUUGAAAUUCUGACAUUCUAACAUUUAUAAUUUGGUUAUUUUGAAAUUUAUUUUAAAAUAAAAUUAAUGUUGAGAUUCUUUCACUUUUAAAAUAAUAAUUUGAUUAUCCUAAUAUUCAAGCCAUUAUUUUGAGAUAAGAUAUCAGUUGAGAUUUUUUAAUUUUGAAAUUCAAUUGGGUUAUUUUGAAAUUCAAAUUCAAUAACCGUAUUUCAAAAUUUUAAUUUGGUUAUUUUGAAGUUAGUAAGAUUGAAUAAAGUUAUUAAAAAGUUGAAUCAAUUAGUUGAGUCCCAUGAUAAUAAAAAAAAAAUAUGAUAUGAGUUGUUAUAUAUUUUUCAGGUAAAAAAUAAUUAAACGCUAAUAAACGCAUAACAUAAAUUAAUUACAAUGUAAACACAUAGCAUAAAUUAAUUACAAUGUAGAAACGAAAUAAUGAUAGUUGGAGAAGAUAGAUAUUUUGGUAUUUUAUAAAAUAACAUGCACGUGCAAAAAAAUGUUAUUUGCUAAAAUUCAGAAGAAAAAAUAGUUUUGUCAUUUUUCAAAAUGAUCCAUAAAAAUGUUGUUAUAUCUCUUAUUAUUAGUCUAAUAACCUCAUAAAAUUAGUGUUACGUUUUUAUUCUAUAAAAACAAACGAGCCGUAAGCUUUUUAUGAUACAUCAUCGCAGACAAAUCAAGAGAAGCUAAUGAUAGUGACUAAAUUUGAGAGAAAUUUUGCCUUACACUUCAGCAGUGUUUGUUAGUCAUUUAAGAAUCAAUUCGGGUUUUGAUCAAGAUGAAAUUUUAAUAGUGUGUUCUUGGCAUGAGAGACUUCCACUAGAAGGUGGAGAUUUUGUUUGGAGCCAUUUACACUUAGAAUUGAAUAGAUAGUUAGUUGCCACAUAUUUGAGAUUAUUUUAAAAAUAAUAAUAAAGGUUACUUUUCAAAUAUAGAAAUAAAUCAAAGUAUUUAUAAAAUUAAAUAUAUCAAAAUUUCUAAUUCUAAUAAUAUUAAUAGAUACUAAUAACAAAUUUUUCUAUACUUGAUUGAAUAUGUAAUUUUUUAUACCCCUAAAUACUUUUAUCAUUAAAAAUAUUUUUCAUUGUGAACGUUAUAAAAAAAAUAUUUAAACGAAGUUCAACUUAUUGAAAUAUUAUAAUAAUAAACUAAUAUGUUAAAAAUAUUUGAAUGUAAUAAACUUGUCCUCAAAACACCUACCUCAUUAAUGGCAAAAAAAAUAACCCCAUCUAUUGCUAUAAAAGGCCACAAAGUAUGAGGUUCCCAAUAGGCAAAACUCAAACUCGAAAAGCCACAAUGUUUCCCAAAUACUUUCUUCUCCUUCUUCUCGCAGUUGUGCUUCUUACCACAACUCAAGCACUGAAGCAUCCCUUCAACUCCAACCAAGAACGUAUUCCAUCCACCGACCUCACCCACGGAAAGCUCCCGACCACCAUCACUGAUCCAAACGAAGAAUCCAAAUUCUUCAGGAGGCCAUCUCCCUACAAGAAACCCUACAAGAGGCCACCCUACAAGAAGUAUCCACCCUAUAAGAAACGCCCUCCAUACAAGAAGUACCCACCCUCUUCUCACUAAAUGGCAUCCAAAACAAAAGUUGUGGCCAUGGACAAUGUGGCAUCUGUUUAAUUUCUUUGAUAAAUAAGUGGUGCUAUAAGCUCCGAGUCCUAGGGUAAUACUUGGAAGCUCAUGAAGUUGGCACUUAUGUAAUAUGUGUUAAUCCAAACUUUAUAUCUCUGAUAUAUUGUUGUAUUAUUUGUCUCUACGUUAUUAUUGCUUUCCUUAUCGUAUAAUAAUCUAAAGUUUAAAUAAAUUUACUACUUUCGUCAACUCUGUUAAUAUUUCUUUUUUUACUUUUAAGAUUGUGAUAUGAAAGUCGUAUUGAAUUCAACAUGUAAGGAGAGAGAUUUGAACUUUGAAGUGAUCUUUUUUCUAAUACAUACACAUCAAAUUAAUAUAUGUAUUUAAAUUGACAAUUUCAUAGGGCUAAUGCGAGUUAUUAAUUAAUUUAGAAACACAAAAACAUUUAAGAUAUAUUGAAUGAGAGAGCGAGAUAUUUCCUUUUAAGAUUAGAGACGACUAAUUACUUAUAUGAUAAGAAUAACACUUACGUUAACUAAAAUAUACUAAAUACUCGUGCUAAUUAAAUUAUAUGUUUUGAGAAAUUUGUAUAGGUAGAAAAAAUGUCAAACUAUUUACAUAAAUGGUAAAGAAAGAUAUUGAUAAACAAUAUUAAAGUACUUUUAUCAACCUCUAUUAAUAAUGAUUUACUUGUAUCACAGUUUUUAAAGAAAGAUAUUGAUAAACAAUAUUAAAGUACUUUUAUCAACCUCUAUUAAUAAUGAUUUACUUGUAUCACAGUUUUUAUCACUGAUAGUAUUAAUAUUAAUAGACUUCUACGAGUUUCUAUCACUCACAUAAAAGAUAAUAGAUUUAUUUUCUAGAAUUCAAUUAGUUUCUAUCCACUCAUAAACUUCUACCAACGCUUAUCAAUGUUAAACUUGUAUCAAUUUCUAAUAUUAGUUUACUUCUAUUAGUACCUAUUUGGAUAUAACCAAUAUAUAAGUUUUUACUCUUAACUUGUAGCUUGUAAAUAGCUAGCAUAACCCAUUUUCCUACCUUUAAAACCUCAUAAUUACCAAACAUAUUUUUGCUUUUUGUUUGUUGGACAAUUAUUUUUAUGUUCAUUUAAUAAUAAAAAACAAAGAACAACAAACAAUAAAACAGUUACUAUACCCUAUUCUAUUUUAUUUUUAUUAGUUGAAAAUGAGAAAAAAGAACAAUAUUAUCAAUCAAAAUGUUAACAAACAAGCUAAUUUUUUUUCUUCCAAAAAUUGAUUGUAUUUGUAAUACAUUUUGAAGUGUUUAAUUUAAAACACAAGUCAUGUUGAAAAUUUUAAAAGUGUUAUAGAAAGCUACUAGUAGCUUUUGAAACAUAGUUUUAUCCCGUUUUAUAUUUAAAAAGAUAUUAAAAUAAAAAUGAACCUUUUAAGUUAAAAAUUCCAUUUGAUAUUUCUAUUUCCAAAAAAAGAAAAAAAAACAACUCUCUAUUCUAUCCCAUCACAGAUAUGUGUUUUGUCAGUCUAAAAUAUUAAUAUUGUGUAAUCGUUUAUGAUUAUAUAUUGCUUUUGUUCAUAACUUCAGACUUCAUUUCAGUCAUGCAUGACGUUACUAUAAGAUAAGCUCACAUGCUCACAUAACUCUCUCCAUCACUCACUAUUAUUUUAGUUAUAAUCCAUCAUAAAUAUAGAUGUCUAUUAUUACGUUCAGUGUCACCCUCUUACCUUUCCCACUUGUUUGCCAAAAAUCUUGAAGAUAACAAUUUUUAGUCAUCAUAUAAUCUAUUUCAUAUUUGUCAAAUUGCCUCUCAGCAGUGUUAUUGGAUGGCUUUAGUAAAUUAUAUAUACAUCAGUGAAAUUUAUCGAGUUAAGUGGAGUAUUUUGAGAAUUCCUUAUUUUUUUUCUUUUUUAAUUUAUAUUAUUUACAUACUAUAUUUAUAUUAUUUUAAUAUUAUAUUUUUCUCGUGCUCCAAACUUAUUUUCACUUUUUUUAUAUGAGAUUUGGUACCAUUUUCUAAAACUAUUUCCAAGUAUAUACAUUGCCAUUAAUGAUGUAAAUGAUGUUAUGUAUAUGAUUUAUACUCUUACGUAUCAUGAGUCGAGUCAAUUUUAAUCCUAUUUUAAUGAUAGAAAAAAUCUCUCUAGAAGAUCGUUUGGUCCACUAACUUAUCUAAAUUAGUAUAAACAAAUCAAUUUAGUUUAAUUUAUAAAACACUAUUGAAUUUUGACAGUAUAUCGAUUAAUUUUAUCUUCUCAUACUAUAGAAUACUCAUAAAUUGAAGAAAAUCACAUAACACCGUGACAUUUGAUUACUACACAACAUAGUGACACUCGAUUAUAACCUUCAACAAAGUAAAAACCCUAAUUACAUAACACCGAACUUGAGUUGCACAUAAAUUUUUUGUCAACGUCGUGGCACUACACCCUAACACCAUGACUAUAAAAAUGGUGUCGUUUGCCCUUCUAGAGUUUAUCUCUCCAGGAUUGAAAUUGAUUCCAAUGGUUUUUGGCUCUACUUUUCUUCUUUUUUGUCAGUGCUUGUAUCAAAACUCUACCCCACUUAUUGACAUGUCAAUUGUGGGGAAAGAUAACACAUUUUCUAGCUAAUUGGUUGUAAGAUUUUUCCUAGUUGUAUAAAUGGAUAGCUAGAUUUUUUCAUAUAGAUAUCAAUGAGAUUUAAUAAUGGAUAUCUAGAAAAUUAUAAAAAAUUAAUAAGGAAGAAAAAGAAUAAAACAUAUAUAUGAAAAAAUUUAAUAAGGGACGGAAAGAAUGAAAUAAACUAAAUAUGAAAAACUAAUAAUAAAUGAUCAAUGUUCGAAACUAAACCCAUGAUUUAUGGGACGAAAAUUGUUUCAAGCACGACUCCAACCUCUCAUACCAAUGAGCUAACUACACAUUUUACAAAAUACAACAAAUAAAAUUAAAUAAAAUGGGAACACAAUUGUGAGAAAAUAUUUUCCAUAAUUUCUCAAUUUUUACCUAAAUUCGAGAAAUGCUCUUUGAUAUUUAGGAAUAAGAAAUAAGAACCGUUGUCAAACACGUCUACUUCUUAAUAAAAAAGAAACAAAUACAUGAAACAAGAAAUAAAAACGUUAUCAAACGGACUCUAAAAUUUCAGAAUUAUGUCCGGUAGCAGCCUCUUAUAUUUUUUGCCUUUUCUUAGUACAAGACGUGUCGAGUGAAAGUCAAGAUUACUUUAACGUAAUUAUAUUAAAUACAUUGGAGACUCAUGUUGAAUAAGAAAAUUUGAGACCAAUCACAAAUUGCCACAUCAUUUAUUAAGUUAACGAUGAAAAGUACAAAUAAUUAAAUUUGGGACUAAUUAAAAUUGACAUGUGCCCCAAAUUAAAGAAUUGAAAAAGAAACAUAAAUUUGGUCAUUCUAAUAAUGUCAUAUGUUUUCAUCUUAAUCGUUGGAUUAAGUUAAUCAUUUUGGUUCAAUUAAAUAUUAUUUACUUGAACUAAGUUCAAUUAAACUAAAAAAAUAAGCUUAAUUGAGCCCAAAGACUAAAUAUAACCUAAAUCCAUAUGGUUAAGUCCAUAGGUCUAGUCCAUGGAUCAACCAGGUUUAAGCUCAUAAAUCCCACCAGUGAACUCUAUAAAUAGAAGAAUUCUUCUCAUUUGUAGGGGUUGUAAAUUUUUGACUUGAGAAGACUUAGAGAGAAUUCUCCCAAGAGCUAGAAGACUUUUUAACUCCUGAAAUCGAUCAUCCUAAAAAAUUGAAGCUUCUUUGAAGAUACAAACUUUCUUCCAAGACUCCAACUUCAAAAACAUCACGUGUUUCGCUUCCUCAAAUCAAGCGUAAGCAUUCAACCAACUUGAAGAACAUCAUGUGCUUCGCUUCUCCAAAUCAAGCAUAGACGUUCAACAAACUUCAACAACAUCACGUGCUCCGCUUCCUCCAAAUUAAGCGUAAGCAUCCAGUAGAGAUAGAAUCAGAAGAUCAAAUUCUAGAGAUAGAACCACAUCGCAUCAAAUGAACAAAAAUACAACAUCAACACUCGAGUUCAAAUCCACGAAUUAAAUUUCUCCGGAAAUCUCGUGCGAACAACUCAUAAGAUUUGUUUGUAUGAUUCAAGGACCAAUUAGUUAGUUUGUUCCUUUUCCCUUCGUGAGUGAUCAAAUCAAAUCCGAGUCAUAUCAACGUGCAAUAUAAGUAUAUUAUAAAUUUAAUUUUUAAACUUUCAAAACUACUUUGGUAAAAGUUAAAAAUUUCCAAAACUUUAUCCAGAUUAAUUGCAAGUAAUUUAUUAUUGAGUAUAAUUUUGAGGACAAUUUAUUUAGAGUGCAACAAUUAUUGGACUAUGUGUUAUCUAGUAAAUUUUCAUUUACAAUUGUGUGGUUAUGUCUCACGAACAGUGACUGUUUAAUAUAAUUAACAACUUAGUUAAUCAAUAUAAUUGCUUUUAAGUUGAGGUUUCACUAGAAAAGGUAAAAUAACUCAUCAAAUAUCUCUUUAUUUCAUUUUCCUCUCUUGGUAGAUUUUUCGUCAACAUAUUCGAUUCAUUAUGUCUUUGACGAAUCUAUCAACAAAGAAUCAACUGAAAUGACAAUUCCUUCACCAAAUGAAAUUAAUAAAGGAAGAUUUGUGUUAAGUUAUUUCACUUUUAAAGUGAGAAGUCCCGAAAGGUCCGUCAGAUUAAAUGAGAAAUUUUUAAAAAUAGCAUAUUUUAUAUAAUAUUUACGAUAUAUAACAAAUUCUAUCACCGAUAAUCAUUGAUAUGCUAUAGUGAUAGAAGACUAUCAUUGAUAAAAUCCAUAAUUUUGGUGUAAGUUGUAAAUAUUUUAAUUUAUUUUUUAUUUUUAAAAAUACUCCUAAUAAGAAUUAGUUUUUUAUUUUAUAAAAACAAAGUAGGCAACAACUUUUUAAUACAUCAUCGAUUGAGAGAACCUAACUAGAGCGAGUAAAUUUGAGAAAAUUUUUGCCUUCCACUUCAACAGCAUUUGUCAAAUCAACUUGUCGAAUUGAGCUCAAAUUUUGAUAGUGUAUUCUUGGCAUGAGUGUCUUCAAACCGACAAUGAAAAUUUUAUUUGGAGUUACUUACUCAAAUCAGAUUUGAGUGAAUAGUUAUUUGUCACCUAUUUGAAGUUAUUCUAAUUUAUUAUUUGUUAUUUUUUGUUGUGUAGAUUGUUACUUUUGAUAUAAUUUUAUAUAACUCUAGUUGUGACUAGAAAGAAUUCAUUGUACACGUUACUUCGAUUAUUGCGGUAAUUUUGACUAUCGGUCAGGAAUUUUUAGUGAGACAGUUUUUUGAUGUCAAGAUUUCUAGUGUGUUCUUACUUUAUUAUUGCUUUUGUUAAUUAGUAUUUUAUUAGAUUCACACAGGAAUUGAAUUAAGUUAUACAAAAUUUUGUGGAGAUUUUAGUCGACCAAAAACCACCUUUGCAUUGAAUUAGGAUAAAAUUAAAAGAAUUAUCUCAAUGAUAUUACUUGUGAAUUAGUUUUCUAACAACUUCGUUAAAAUUUUCCGCUUCCAUUAUAAAUGUUUUCCAGUUUGGAACAAAUACUACUUCUCAACACUUCCUUCUUAAUUUUAUUUCUCCAAACAACUACUUAAUUUAUUUUCCAGUUGUAUUUGAAUUACUAAUAUUAUCAUUUGAUUUAAAUAAGACUUUUUUUUUAAAAUAUAAUAAAAUUAAUCAAAAUAAUUACAAAUAAUAGAUAGUAACGUUCACAAGGUGUGCAUCAAUUAUAAUUAAUAGUAGUCUAUUGAAAUCUAUUGACUAUUAGUGAUAGAUAGUAAUCUCAAUAGUUGUUUAUUAUUAAUAGACUGUGACAUCCUACUAAAUUUAUACACAUUCUCAACAAUUUUGCUAUUUAAAAUAAUUAUCCAAGAAAACUAAAUACAUGAUACCAUUGCUAACAAUUCAAUCUAAUUUUGUUCUUGAGAGAGAAAAAAAAAAAGAAAGAAAGAUAGAUAAACAUGAGCAUUACCAAAAUCUCCACCAUAACCGACAUUCAUAAGGUUGCAAACUACACUCUUAAUUUAGGCUAAGUAUAUUGAUAUAUUGGAGUUAAUACUUUGACAGCUUUCUUUUUAGCACAAUAAAUUUGGGUAAUGAAAAUUCUACCUCUAAUUUUAACAAAGAAGAAGAAAAAGGUAGAUAUGAAUUAUUAGAUUAGGUUGUCAUAUUAAAAUAUAGCCAAAUAAUUGAAAAAGUGAACCAAAAGUUUGAAAUAUGAAUGACUUUUGCACCAAUAUAUAUAUAUGUAAUGGUACAUGUUUUGGAUUUUUCUCUCUUUUAAUACCCAUAAAAGUUACAGUUGUCCAAUAUAAAUUUCACACUUCAUUGCCGACAAAUUUUGUACAUCUACUUUUAUUUUAUUUCUAUUAUAUAUUUCACACCUUUUUCUUUUCUUUUUUCUUAUCUAUUCUUUUAGUUAAAGUAUGUAUGUAUACAUAAAACUUUUUGGCAAUGGAUCAACUUUCAAGCUUGUAUUAAUUAAGCUUUUGAGUGUUAGGAGAACUCUAAUAUGUUGGAAGGCUUUCAAUUUGUUACGUUCCAUAUGUUUAAAUUUAAUAAUAUUGUUCUCCUUAUAACCUUUGAGAUGUAACUAAUACACUCUUAGAUGAGCUACGUAUAUUUGUUUGUCAAACUUUAUAUGUUUUUGUAUUGGUUAGUUGUUGAUUUUGUAACGUUCAUGAUAAAUCUCUCUAAAUUAUUAAUUAAAACUCAAACACCCGCACUAGUUACUAUAUUAAUUUCAUAUAAUUACACCUUCGACAUUUUUUCUCAACAAAAAUAUUUAAGCAAAACCAAAAAGAAAUAUAGGAGCGAUUGACAUAAAAUUUAAAGUUGAAGGAUCACUUGAUAUUAAAUUUAAUAAAUUCUAUGUUAUGUUUGUUAAAUCGUUCAUUUAAAAAGGUAACUUUUUAACGAUAGUAAAAUGGAUCAAACUCUUUACAAGUUAUAACAAAAUUUUCUACAAUUUAAAGUCUAGAUAGACGCAGAUAGAAGUUUAUCACUCACCGUCUAUAUUAGUGAUAAAGACUAAUAAAAGUCUAUCAUUGAUACUAAUAGAAAUCGAUAUCGGUCUAUCAUUGAUAGAGGUCGAUAAAAAAACUUUAUCUAAAAAAACUAAAAUAAUUUUUUUUAUAUAGUAUAUAUAUUUAUGUCAACUAAGCUACACUCGUAUUGACAAAAGUUGAAUACAAAUUUAAUAACGUGAAAAUGUUGAUUUAAUAUUAAAUUAUGUUUGUUAAUCAACACACGUUUUGUAUCAAGAUCUUCUAUCCUGUGCUUAUUUUUGCACAAUUAAUAUUCUAAUAAUUUUAUUUAUAAAGCACAUAAACAUAUCAACUAAAAUGGUGUUUGGUAGGCUUAAAAGUUGUUUCCUAUUUUAAAAAAAGUUAAAUAGUAAUGAAAAGAAAAGGAAUGAAUAGUUUUUAAUAUAUAUUUUAGGUUAAUUUGUCUCUAUAAAUGCAGGCGGCAUUCUUUUCCAGCUCCUUCAUCACAAACAUGUCUUCUUCCAACUACUUGUUAGCUCUACUUCUUGGGUUACUCUCCGUGGUUCUCACCAAGCCCGUUGUUGGUGAUUACAUCCUCAAUCCUCAACCUCCCCAUCCACCAUUCAUUCCUAUUUACGAACCACCAAAACCUCCGGUAUUUCCUAUUUACGAACCACCAAAUCCUCCAAUACUUCCAAUUUACGAGCCACCUAAACCUCCCGUUGCUCCAAUUUACAAGCCACCCAAGCCGCCAGUGAGUCCAAUUUACAAGCCACCUAAACCUCCAGUUGCUCCAAUUUACAAGCCACCCAAGCCACCAGUGGGUCCAAUUUACAAGCCACCUAAACCUCCCAUUGCUCCAAUUCACAAGCCACCUAAGCCGCCAAAGCCGCCGGUGGGUCCAAUUUACAAGCCACCGAAGCCUCCGGUAGUUCCAAUUUACAAGCCACCCAAGCCACCAGUGAGUCCAAUUUACAAGCCACCUAAACCUCCCGUUGCUCCAAUUCACAAGCCACCGAAGCCUCCGGUAGUUCCAAUUUACAAGCCACCUCAACCUUCACUGGGUCCAAUUUACAAGCCACCCAAGCCGCCAGUGGGUCCAAUUUACAAGCCACCAAAGCCUCCGGUAGUUCCAAUUUGUAAGCCACCUAAACCUCCAGUUGCUCCAAUUUACAAGCCACCCAAGCCACCAGUGGGUCCAAUUUACAAACCACCAAAGCCUCCGACUGUUCCAAUUUACAAGCCACCUAAACCUCCGGUUGCUCCAAUUUACAAGCCACCUAAACCACCAAAGUCGCCAGUGGGUCCAAUUCACAAACCACCAAAGCCACCGAUGGUUCCAAUAUACAAGCCACCUAAACCUCCAGUAGUUCCAAUUUACAAGCCACCAAAGCCUCCAGUAGCUCCAAUUUACAAGCCUCCAAAGCCUCCAAUGGCUCCCGUUUACAAGCCACCAAAGCCUCCAGUUGUUCCAAUUUACAAGCCACCCGAACAACCAGUAGGUCCAAUUUAUGAACCUCCAAAACAUCCAGGAGAUCCCAUACACAAACCGCCAGUGCCAAUUGACAAACCAUCUCUACCGCCACCAUACUCUUACAAUCCUCCGUACAAUCCGCCACCAUCCAACUGAGUUCGUGUGUUGAGUGAAGCAACCUAAUUAAGCUGAAUUAGCAUAUAUAAAUAAGAGCUUUUGGCUACUCAAUGUUCUAUGCUUAUUGUGCUCAUCUUUCUUCUUUGUAAAGCAGAGCAUGAGCAGGCCAUUUGGUUUAUGGCGUUUCCAAAAUUAUUUCUACCUUGUUGAUGGUGUUUCAGAAAUUAUUUCUACUUACUCUUCUGGUCUAUUUUUCAUGUUUUCACUUAUUGGAAAUUUCAUAAUAAAAUCUUAACUACAAUCCCACAUUGUAUUUAUAAUCCUCUCUGUCUUGAGUGAGCCUUACUCCUAAAUGUUAUUAUCAAGGUAUUGUCUUUUUAGUGUAUCAUUGAAAUAAAUAAACUCAAACCACAAACUUCUUGAUCGCUGUAAUUUGUGUAAAACACUAGUUAAAGAGGGUGUAUGAAUUAAUGUAAGUUAAAUCAAAUUCAACUAAGAGGAAUCUUAAAGAUUAUUAAAUUAUGGUUAAGAAAUAUGUUCAAAAGAAUUUAAAGUUGUUAUCCUACACUAACCAACAAGGUGCCUCUUUCUUUCUCAAUGGUUUGAUUACGAAAACUUUAAAAAGUCUAUUAUUUUUAGUAUGAAGUAAUUCUAUGUUUGAUGACCUCUUAAAAUAUGUUAUAGAAAGCAUGUGAAUGAGAACAAAACAUCGUACCAUGAUUUUGCUAGAGGUUCUAAGAAUUGUAAAUUAAUUUAGUUAAAUUUGUUCUUGGAGACUAUAAUUUUCUUUUGAAUUUUGUUGGGCGUGUGAAAGAGCAAGAAACUUGGUACGUUUUUUAAAUGAUGCAUAGAGGGAGGCUUAAUAAAAUGAGGAGAGAGAAUUUCAUUAAAUAAGGAAAGUAGAGAAAGGGGAGAGGGGAGAGGGAGAGGGGAGGGGAAUUUUGUAUUUGAACAGUGGAGAGAUAAAGGGAAAAUAGGGUUUUGGUUUAAGAUGAGGAAAGAGGGAAAACACAAAUUAAUAUUAAUGAAGUGAGAGAAAAAAUAGACAUUUAAAUGAUGAGUGAUUGAUUUUAGAGAGAAGGUAGAGAGUAUUAUUCUGGAGAAAGAUUCAUGGGUUCUCAAAUUAUUAUACAACAUCAUAUUUGGCUCUAUUUAUAAAUAUUUUCAUAAAUUUUAAUACUUAAAAUAUUUUUCCAAACAAACAUUCAUCUCUUUAGUUUAGGAUUUGACGUUGUUAACCCUAUGUUUGGAUUCGAGAAGGUUGAAAGAAAAAUUAUUUUAUUUGGAAUGAGAAAGAUUUUAAAUAAAUAUAUUUAAAAUUUCAUGUUCAAAUGUUAAUUGGGAAUAAAAAAAAGAAGGUAAAUUAAGAGUUUACUAAUACUUUUAAUGUAUUAGUUAAAAAUUAGAGAAGGAUGAGUUCAAUUAUGUAAUUUACUUUUAAAUCUGGUAAAUUAUUUUUAAAAAAUUAAGCAUUUUGGUACAAAUUGUUAAUUAGGUUAGUGUGUUUUUUUCACUCCUUGAGCACUUUGAUAACAUUUAGACUUUGAUAAAGGAUUGAUAACAUUUGGACUUUGAUAAAGGAUUGAAUGAAACGGGUAAAAGGUGCUGCCACUUAGAAUUUAAAAAAGCGAGCAAGAUUAGUGUUUUCUUUUAAUACUCUUUUUGUUUUUGGGGUUUUGAGUUUAGUUUUUAUUUGAUUUCUAUAUUUUGAAAUAAAACUGUUUGUCCCAUCUAUUCGAAGGAUGCUAAAUUUUAGUCUUUAAUAUAAUAAAAUGGAUGGGUAGUGAAUUGAUGAAAGAUUAAGUUAUAUAGGGAUGAUGAUUGGAUUAAUUUAAAAGCAAAACAUAUAUUUAUAAUGAAAAGACGUUCCUAAUAUUGAAAGGGCAAGAAGAAAAUGGAAUUGAGAGGAAGAAACUUUGACGCUUUUUGGAUCACUUGGGUCCAAAAGUGAUCCAGAAAGUAAUAGGCAGACGGGGAGGGAUUUAGAGUAAACUAAAAACAUUCAAUUCAGACUUUUUUAUAAAAAAAAUUAUUUAAUUACCUUCUCCUACUUUUGUGGAUCCUAAAACCUCAGCAAUAACUACAAAGCAGCCUCAAGAAGUACCUAACUUCUUCAAACGCACAGAGUACGUAUUUCAUUAUUUAAUUUUGAGCUUCUGCUUCUAAUUUACAACAGGUUUGUUUCUCAUGGGUUAAUUCUUUUGUGCUUUACUUACUUGACCCAUUAGGGUUUUGUGUCGAUUAAUAGUUUUAUGUUUUAAGAGCUUUUUGGGGAAAACUAUUUGCAGGGAUAAAAUGAAUACAGAAAAUUGGGUUGAGAGUGUUUUAGUGAUUUGUGCUUUUCUUUUCCAACAGCUCCAUCGUUUCAUUUUUCGUCUUCUUCUGCAUUAUUGUUGUUUGCUGAUAAAGAUUUCUACCUCUCAUUUAUACUUUGCAGGGUGGAUUUUGAUCGAAACUAAACUCAAAGACUUUGGACCAAAAUGAUAUUUUUGGUGCAUAGCCGAUGGAUACAGCUGGAGUGGCAAGUGGAUGAAACUUAAAUCUUUCUAAUGUAAGAGUGAAUGCAAAACAAAGGCAUCCAAAAGUUCUGAGAGAGUUGUAAUCUUCUUGUUGGCCAAAAAGGCAAUACUGAGGGGUUUGCAACUGUAUGAUUGAUGAAGGUAAUCUGUUGAUUAGGUAGGCACCAAUCGUGAGACAGUCUCCUUAGAAUUUUAUUGACACUCGUGACUGAAAAAUGGAGUUUGUGAGACAUUUAGUAAGUGUUGAUGCUUCUUUUAACUAUGAAGCUUUUUUCAAGGCAGCCAAGACAUGAGUAUUGAUGAAUGACUCUUUUGGUGUUGAAAAAUUAUGUAAAGAUUCAUUCUGGAGCAUUGUCAUAUCAUAAUUUCUUCACAACUCCAAACUGAUUUUCUAUGAGUUUGAAGAAUUUUGGAAUUAUAGACAAUACAUCUUACUUUCUUUUAAGAAGAUAUAUCCAGAUAUAUGUUGAAAAAUCAUCUACAACUGUUAAGAAAUAUUAUUUAUGUUCACCUCUAGUGAGAGAUUGAUAGGGACCCCAUAUGUCACAAUGUAAAAUAUCAAACAUUUUAUUGCAUAUAUAGUUGUUUGAUUGAAAUGGUAACUUUUUUGUUUAGCUAAAGGACAUACUAAAAUUGUCUUGAGAAGUUUCAACAAAUAUCAAAUCUUUCAAGACAUUUACAAGUUUGCGAGAGAGGUGGUCAAGUCUGUUGUGUCAUGUAUGAGAAGGUAUAGAUGGUGUCGAAACAACAUUACAAUGAUAACGAGUUUGUAGAGUGGUUUGAAAAUCAUGUAAGUGAGAAAAGACAAUAGCUAUGAUAUUUAUUUUUCUAUACAAUUUCUACUUAUUUUUAAAUAUGAAAGUAUUUUCUACGUGGGUUACUAAAUAAUAUAUUGAAGUUGGCAAACAGUUAUUAGACUUAUCUCAAGGUCCAUCACAAGAAGUAACACACUCUACAUGAGGUACAUUGUUGAUGGAUUUAGAUUUUGUAUCAAGGAUGUUGAUAAUUUAAGAAAAACACAAAAUAGUUAGGGUGGUUGAGAGAGUAACUGAUAAUCAAAAUUACUUUGGUGUAUUACAAGAUAUUAUUGAAUUGCAUAUAUGGGUGAAUAUAUCAAUAGACUUGGAAAAGGAAUUAGAAACUGAUGAUCAUCGAAUAACUAGUGUGAAUGUGACAUACACAUUUGCUACAAAUAAGCCAUUUGUAUUAUCAUGUUAAUCUAAACAAGUUUUUUACCUUGAAGAUAGAAGAAACUCGAUUUGCCAUUUUGUGUUGAAAAUUGAUCCAAUAGAUUAUUACAAUCACUACAAGAAAGUAGAUCUUGCCCGAUACAACCACAUGUCGAAAAAGCUACAAUUCGCGUCGGAAAAGGUAUUUUCGACGUUUGAAGCGACCUCAAAAGCCACACGUCAGAAAAAAGUGUACUAUUAAUUUUAAAACGUCACCUUUCCUGACAUGGGGCAGAGGGAUGUUGGUAAAGGUUGACAUUUUAAAUUAAUAUUUAACUUUCCUCGACGUCACAUUGAUACACGUUAGGGAAGAUUCAAUAUUCAUUUUAUAUUUGAACUUUCCCCAACGUCCCUCUGCCUCACAUUGGAGAAAGUUCAAUGUUAAAUUAAUAUUCAUACGUUCCUCAACUCCUAUUUUCCAUUCGUCGGGAACAUGUCUUAUGUAGAUGCGACUAUGCAUGUAUCAACGUUGGGUGGUCAACGCUGACGAAGGGUUUGCCAACCUUAUGCCGCAUUGAAAUUUCUCUAAUUUCUUGUAGUGAAUGUCCUCUUGAUCAUAGAAGGUUAUUGUCAAGAUGGUGAAAAAGAUGACAAUAGAUGAAUUUAGAUGAAGAGAGAAAGAUGUAAUAUGAAGCUAACAAUCUUGGUGUUUUUUCAUCCGAGAUGAAAUGUAAUAUGAAGCUAAUAAUUUUGGUGUUUUUUCGUCCGAGAUGAAAUGUACCCUUAAGCUAAUAAUCUUGGUGCUUUUUCGUCCAAUAAGGUAUUUAGAUGAAGAAUGAGUAUUUAUUUGAAAGCAUGAGUUUGCUUAUUUGUGAAUGAGAUGAGAAUUAGAUUUUGAUAUUUAAAAUAUCUUUUGAAUUAUCCAGGCCUUACCAUCUUGAGGUAGAUUUGUGUAAAAGAUGAAAAUAGUGUGAACCAAAUUGAAUAACAAUGAUAGUACAAAUAGUCACGACUGCAUCUACAUCUAAUCAAAUAGUUGGUGAUCACCAAACUUCAACAAAAUCUAAUGCAAAAGCGGAUUUAGGAGCUUCAUCAUUGUUUAUACAGGUGAAAUUAGAUCAACUACGUACUACUCAUGAAAAGUUUGUUAAUAGAGAGGUAACAUUAUUCAUUGUUAUACGUACAUAUUAUUAUUUAUGUAUGAUUUGUUACUUACUUUUUUCUUUUUCAUUUUACUUUAGAGUUUUCUUUUGAAAAAGGAAAGGUACGUGGCCCCACACGAAAUCUCAAACUUGUUAAACUACCACAUGGGAUGAGAUUUGUAGUAUCGUGGUGGAAGAAAUGACCCGUUACGAAUAUUACUAAUAUCUUCAAAAGCCAAUGCACUCUCUUAACUAGACAUGUCAACUUUACUCCUUUACGAGUGAAAACUUGAAAAGAUAUUGAUAAACUGAAGAAAAAAAACUAAUUGAACUUAUAGUGGUAUGUGAAAAAAUAAUAACUUUUUUCUUUGAUUAAUUUACUUCUUAUAUAAUUAGAUUACAACAAUCAUUUUCCUUGCAAAAGCGAUUUAAAUUAAAGUUGAAAGUCACGAAGCUUCAAUGUUGCUUCAAAUUAAUCGAUCUUAUAAUAAUUGGAGGGAUCGUUUAAAGAAAAAAUGGUUGAGCAAAUAUGAUAGAAUUAUAGAAGUUUUAGCAAAUAAUCUAUCAGAAAUUACAAAAGAAGAUGCAGAAUAUCUUGCGAAGUUAUGAAAGUCAGCUGAAUAUCAAGUUGUAAUCUAAUAUCUUUUUCUUGUACAUCCAAAGAAGUUGUACUUACUAAUUUAAUUUUUAUUGAUGCUUAUAUUCUACUUUUGAAAUGCAAUAGAUAUGUGUGUGAAAGAAAUCAAAAGAACUGCUCUAAGUUGAAUGUAUAUCACACGUGUGGUUCACAAAGUAUACAAGAAAGAGUUGAAAAAGAGGUAAUUAAAUGAAAAAUUAUAUAAACUUCUUUUAAUUUUGUGAAACUAUCUAAUAUAUAUUAUUUUCACUUAGGUUCAAGACAUGUAAUGAAGAACCUAGCUAGUCGAAUUAGAAUUUGGGAGCUAACUCAACUUGACCAAUAAUGAAUUGCUUGUGAAUAAAGCUACACAAGAGAAACUUGUAAGUACAAAAUAAUUAAUAUAUAUGAUGUAGCUAGAUUGUGUUAUUAUUUAAUCACCAUAAUUAAGAAUAGCGAAAUUGUUUAUAUUGCUCUGCUUAUGUAUUAUUUAACCAUCACUCGUGCGUUUUGAUUUUGUAUAAUUGGAGCUUCAUGUUCUUUCUAUUUAUGUUGCUCUGUUUAUGAUAGGAAAUAUAAUUUUGUAGUUGGAACUGUAUAUGUUGCUCUAUUUAUGAUUUUGUAUCAUAGUUGUUGUAUGGUGGGUGCAAAACUUAGCGUAGAUCAACACAUGAAUUCAUAUUUGUGUUAAGUUUUGAAUUAUUAAAUGUGAAUUUUUGUUUUGUAGUCUGAACUUAAAUCGUAUGCUUCUCAAGUGAUUGAUUGUACUUUUGAAGUGAACGAAGAUGAUAUUUUUGUACAAGUAUUUGGACUGGAGAAACGCGGACGUGCUCGUGGUUAUGAAGUAGGUGUUACCCCUUCUAAGUUGUUUGGAUCAUCAUCUAAGGUAAAAAAUCUUGAGUGUCGUCUUAAUGAGUUUGAAAAAUAUCUUCACGAAUUUUAAUGACAAAGAAAAUCUGAGGUACAAACACUACAUGAUAGAAUUACCGAAUUAAAAAACCGUUUGAAGGAUAGAUUCCAAGUUAUGAUGGCAGAUAUGCAAUCAUGUUUCUAGUUGAUCGUCUGUCAUAGUUUGAUGUUAUAGAAGUUGAAUCGUCUCUUGUUAUGUAAUUUUACGAUAAACUUACUAGCUUUCAUCCAAGUCAUUGAUUAUUUUUUCUAUUUCAUUUUUAUACAUUGUAAUUCGAUAUUCACCAUUAGGUAAUGGAUUAGUAAAAACAACAUUUUGAUUGUAAUUCAAUAUUCACCGUUAGGUGAUGGAUUAGUAAAAAUAACAUUUUGAUAUUUGUCAGUAAAUGUGUUAAAAGGUUUUGUGAGAAAAUUUUCGAAAGAUUUAUACAUUUGUUGAAAAAGUUCUUUUAUAAAAACUUCAAAAAAAAAUCAUUUAGAUAAUAAAUAUUUAUCGAUGAAUAAUUUAACCGUUAUCAAAGGUAUGUGUUACCUUUAAAAGUUAUUAAUUAUUAAUUAGUAAAACCUUCGAGAAUUAGUAAUUUUCAAAAGUUAGUAAAUCUUCGAAAAAGGAUUUUCGGCGGGAUCUACUUCGACACAUUUCAAAGGUUGAAAUAACCUUUAGCAGAAAAUGUAUGAAAGGACUAUUAAAUAUAUUUUGGAAGGUUGUGGCAUUCUGGAUUGUUUUUUAGUGUCCAAGUAUUUGUUAAAAUCACACUUUUGAUUUUAUUAAUCACCCACACAAUUAUUUUAUUCUAAAUUUUCUUCUUCAAUGAUCCACUCCUUUCUAAUUAAAUUAUCUUUGUAUUUUGUGUUGUGUAUUUUUGUAGGUGGAUUGAAUGAUCUUGUAUUUUUGUAGGUGGUCUUCAAAUUUUAUACUCGUUACUUUAAUCUUCCAAACCUUAAUCCAUCUUGUAUUUUGUUUACUCUUGAGUAAUUACUUUGUGAUGUAAUGAAUUAUAAAAUUUCAAUUAUGAGAUGAAAUUUAAAUUGUUAUGAUACAAAUAUAUGUUUUUUACCUACCAUUUAGGUUUCGUUAAAACAUUAUCCACGACUUUGUUUUAUUUGAAUGUUUGAAAAUAAUUGCUUAAUUAUUAUCGAUUUGGGCUAUAAAUUUUAGGCUACAUUGGCAAAAAAUAACAAUAACAAAUAAAAAGUAGUGACAUUUUUAAAAAUUAUAAAAUAAAUAAAAUAUUUACAAUCUAUAGCAAAAUUUUGGAUUAUAUCAAUAAUAGCAACUGAUAGACUUCUAUCAUUGUAGCAUAUCAAUGACUAUCAGUGAUAAAAUUUAAAAAUUUUGCUAUAGGUUAUAAAUAUUUUGUAAAAUUUGUUAUUAUUGAAAUUUUUCUAAAAAGUAAUAAUAAAAAAAAUUGUCUAGAAUAAGUUAAGUUUGAAAAUAAUUGGAAAGACUCACGUGGUUGAAGGACUCUACCUACUUUACACACACUAACCAUAUAGAAUGUUCUCUCAUUGAGCAUUCUAUAUUUAUAUAUGUUUAAAGGCGCAACUAAUGUUUGACAUCAACGCUUAGGACAUCCAUCUAUUGCUUGAUUGAAGGAUUUGUUACAACUAUGAAAGGUCCUGAUCGCCUUUAACCUUAUGCGAUGCAUGUGACAAAGAACUGAUUAUGCAAUGAGACAUCUUUGCAUUGAAGGCUACGCGAUAAACUAUUAUGCGUUUGAACUUAUUUCACUGGGAUGUAGUGUGACGUCACCCUUAUGUAAGGAAGUUGGUGAUUGAUUUGACAUUGCCACCCAUUCAUCAAAAUUUAGAAUAAGGACGUGGCACUAGUAGGUGCCAAUUUGACAAUGGAUCAUUCCCAUCGUCGGACAAAAGUAAUCAUUUCAGCAUUAGAAAGUGUUGCUGGAAAGACUUUAUAAAUAGGUGAAGUCCAGUCAUUUUGAAGCUUCUUUUACCUUGAGCUUAAUUAAGAUAGAAUCGAGAGAAUUUCCAAGAUUUUUCAGAGAGCUUGAAUUUGGCAAGGAGUUGAAAAGAAGAAUAACAAGGUGCAUAUGUAUGUUAGAAGAUCCUUUUCCGACGCGUUUUGCUAAAUAUACUGACGUGUGCCUGCAUUGAAAGAGCCCUGUAUUCUUGUAGUGGAUGUUCUAUUCUUUGAAGACUUAUCGCCAUAUCAAACUCAAAAUGGAGAUACCACCAACGCCACCCCUGGCUUCCUGGAUCAUUUUGUACUUCCUUGUCCGAUUUUUGAUACAUCUAAAGCUUACUCUAGCAGCAGAUAUGGUGUUUUACUCUUUGGUUCACCAUCCAAUAUUCAAUACAUUUAUGAAAGUAAUGACUUCAAUGCAAUAAAACCUUGAAUAAUGACAUAUAACAAAAUCUUGAAAGUGCUCCAAAUACUGAAUUUGUGAAGCUGUAAUUGAACCUGAAAACAUGCCCAAAUCUAUUAUAUCUCUGAGGAGGAUCUCAGGACAAACUCAUCCUCCUUCAUAUCUCAAAGAUCACCACUGCAAAGUUAGAUUGUUAUUUUCUGUUGUAUUAGUUGUAUUAGUUAAUAUGUUAGACAGUUAUUAGUUGCUACCAAGCAUCUAUAAAUACCAAGUUUGGUUGAUGUAAAUAUUUUCAUAUACGAAAAUAAAAGAAUUUAUUGCAGUCACUGAGUUUUCUUCCAAAUUCUGCUUCCUCUGUUAUGGUAUCAAAGCUAUUUCCGCAAAGAAGAGUUGCAGAAUAAAACCCAAACGUCCUUUACCCUCGUGCAAUCUACAGUAAUGACGGCACCUGAGAGUUCGACGUCUGGCAACUCCAACCACUCAGUUUCGAUUACCUCUUCUGAUCUUGACGCCCAACUAAAUUCCUUCAUGCUUCAUCAUUCCAUCACUCCAACCACCAACCUUGUUUCUACACCAUUGGCAGGAGCGAAUAACUACUCAUCAUGGAGUAGAGCAAUGAUGCUGGCGUUAUCUGGAAAGAACAAAGUUGGGUUCAUCACCGGCCUGAUCAAGAAACCUUCAGAAGGUAAUCUAUUAUCCGCUUGGAAAUGCAACAAUGAUGUGAUAGCUUCUUGGAUUAUCAACUCUAUUUCGAAAGAGAUAGCAGCAAGCCUCGUUUAUAAUGGAAACGUAAAGGAGAUGUGGGAUGAAUUGAAAGAAAGGUAUAAACAGUCCAAUGGACCUCACAUAUACCAGUUACGAAAGGACCUAGUAACCACUACACAAGGAAGUUUAUCAGUUGAAAUAUACUAUGCAAAAAUCACCACUAUAUGGCAAGAACUUGUGGAAUAUCGUCCUAUGGAUGAAUGCACUUGUGAAGGAUCAAAGAAAAUGAUCGAUUUCUUGAAUGCAUAAUUCGUAAUGACAUUUCUCAUGGGAUUAAAUGAAUCCUAUUGGCAGAUUAGAGCCCAAAUUUUGUUGAUUGAUCCUUUACCUCCCAUAAAUAAAGUCUUUUCUCUAAUCAUCCAAGAAGAAAGACAAAGAUCCAUUGGAUCUUCACCCUUCAUUGAGAGCAUCACAUUGAUGACUAACUCUGAAAGAAGAUUUUCUUCUGAUAAAUCCAAGAAGAAAGAUACAAGACCUAUAUGCUCCAACUGUGGCUAUAAAGGACACACUGCUGACAAAUGCUACAAGUUACAUGGCUACCCACUCGGACAUAGACUUGCCAACAGCAAUAAUUCUGUCUAUGAAAGGCAGAACAACACAAUCCAAGAUGGAAAUGACAAAAUGACAGAAGUUUCUAAGAGCAAUCAAUCUGCCUUUUUUGCUAGUCUCAAUAGUGAUCAAUAUACACAGCUUCUGGGCAUGCUUCAAACUCAUCUGAACACACCUCAAAAUGGUGAGAAUUUAAAAAAUGAGACUACACACAUAGCAGGUACUUGCCUCUCUAACUCACUCAAUGAUCCCUUAACAUGGAUCAUUGACUAUGGUGCUUCCUCAUAUAUUUGCCACGACAAGUUUAUGUUUACAAAUCUCUAUAGCGCCCAGAAUAUGUUUGUUAUCUUGCCCACUAAGACUCGUCUAAAGGUUGAGCAUAUAGGAGAUGUUUUCAUAUUAAAUGAUCUAGUCCUGAAAGAUGUACUUUAUAUUCCUGACUUCAAGUAUAACCUGCUGUCAGUAAGUACUCUCCUUAAGGAUGACAAAUUUGACAUAUCAUUUGCUGAUUCUAAUUGUCUUAUUCAGGACAAGUGGCUUUCGAAAACGAUUGGGAAGGUUGAAUUAACUAAUGGGCUCUACCUACUCAGAAUGAAAAAUGAAAGAGUUAAUUGCAUUCAACACACUACACUAAUGUGUAAAGUCUCGGCCUCUAUGUGGCAUAAACGGAUGAGACAUCCCUCUAUCAGCAGAAUAAAGGAGUUAGCUAAGAUGAUACAAAUUUGUAUAAUGAUGAAAUUUGAAAUAUGAAAUUUGUAAAAAGAAUAAUGAUGAUUUUAUAAGUUUUUUUUUUUAAUACGGGAAAUAAAUAUUUUUGAAUUUUAUUUAUAUACGUGUAAAUUAACCUUUUUAAAAUGUUACUGUUGGGUAGGAUACACAAUUUUCUUUCUCACUGCCUACAUUAAAAAAAAUAUAUUAAAAUAAUUAUAUAAAAAAAGGAUAUGAUUAAUUGUAAUUAAAUAUAUUAGGAUAGAUGUGGUUGGAAUGCAUCAAAAUAUUGUAUUUCCAUAAUUAGAUGAGGUGUGAGGAAAUUUUGUGAUUGGAAAGUGAGAAGAGGGAGAAGAGGGAGAAGAGGGAAAAGAGGGAUUUGGGUUGCAAAGAGGGAAAAGGGGGAUUUGGUUUGGAAAUAGGGAAAAUACAAAAUCAAUCAAGUAAUAGAAAAUUUGAAAAGAGAGAAUAUUGGAUGAGUUUUCAACACUUCGUACAUACCUAAAUUUAAAUGACUGAUUCAAACCGUUGCUUAAAUUUGUGUCAAAUAAAUUUUGUAAAUAUAAAAAUUUGUUCAUUAUAACCUUUUCAUCUGACCAAUUUAAUUGCUUAACAUAUUUAAAUUGUCCUAAAAAUGGUUCUAAUUCAACUUGUGAGAGAAGAGGAAGUGGAAGAGGAAGAGUUUGAGGGAAGAAGGAGAUGUAGAAGAUGUGAUUGAAGUAAAAGAUGUUUCUUUUUAGAAAAAUGGGGGCAAAAGGUAAGUCUAAGAAUAAGAAGUGGUAAUUGCUGAUGAUUUUAGAAAACUUGGGAAAAAUAGUGAGCCAAAGUUUUUAGAAAUUGUUGGAAAAGGUAAAAUGUUCGUUUUAAUUCUUAUCGGCCACAUAACUUUCCUUCAUAGAUAAUAAAAGUUUAUGCCCAUGUACGUGGGCAAAAACUAAAAUAAGUGUUUGCAAAAAUUCCACCUAGUAAUUUUUUGGACGCCACAAAACAUUUUGCCCUUGUAUAUAUUUUUGUUGGCAAAAACAAUGAUGUGCUAACAUAAUGAAAAUGUGUUGGAAAAACAUAUCUCUACCGAUAUUUUUUGUUAUGUUGCCAACGAAAAUUGUCUCCAAAUUAUAAAUUUUUUUUGUAAUUUGUACUUGUUGUCCCUAUUUUACUUGUUAAGAUGCAUCCUCAAAGGAGGCUGAAAUUCUUGCAAUCCACGAGGCAAGUGAGAAGGUGUAUGACUAAGAUCAAUGACUCAGCACAUUCGUGGAACAAGUGGCUUGUCUUCUAGUAAAAAUUUCCCAAUGAUAGUAUAUGAAGACAACACAAUAUGUAUAACUCAAAUCAAAAUAGAUUAAUUAUAUUAAAGGUGAUAGAACAAAACACAUUUCAUCAAAACUUUUCUACAUUCAUGUUCUUGAAAAAAAUGAUGACAUCACAACACAAUAAAUUUGUUCAAAUUAAAGGAUAACCUGACAGAGUUAUUAACAAAAUCACUACCUACCAUUCUUGAAAAACUGAUGUGCACAACACUGAAAUAAGACGACUCAAAGAUCUUAAGCGAUGUUUCAAAUGAGGGAGAGUAAUUGUACUUUUGUAAGUGUAUUAGAUUAUAUGAAAUAUAUAUUCUUUUUCCUUCAUUAACAUUUGUUUUUUACCUGUAAAUUUAUAUUUUAUAUAAGUAAAGAUCAUCUAUGGGGAGUAUUAUAAUUAAAUAUUAUGAUAAUAUGUGUCAAAUAGAUACUAAUCUUUAGUGUCUAUAGAUGACUUCAAUUCUAGCCAGAGAUGACUUCAAUUACUCAAACAGAAUUUCUAAAUUAAUUAGAUGGGUUUUCCUCAAGUUUUUAAGGUCAAUUUUCAAUUUCCAGAACGGAAUUCAUUUCUAAACCUAGAAACAAUAAGAUAACACUCGAAAUUUGAAAGAGAGAAAUAGAAAAUUAGGGAUUAAGGACGUACUAGAAGCAAUUUGAUGAUGUUGCUAGCACUGAAGAUACAGUGAGCAAUGGUGAACUUGAGAAGCUCAGAGGGAGGAAAAUAGGCCGCCAAUACACAUUUCUUGGUGCAUCUCCAACGGUGAAUCUUGCACGCCGCAUACGAACUAAGCACCACGAAGGCCUGAAUGGUCGGCGACGGUGAAGGAGACGCGAUGACGAUCGAAAAAGGAGAAGAGUUGAAGUCGAACUGCAAUUUACCUUAGUAGAAGAGCUGAGGGAGAAUGAGAAAGUGAGGGAGAAGGAGAAAACCAUGCAAGAAGAGAAGAGGAGGGAGAAGAAAAAGGAGAAAAUGACAAUGACCCAAAGUUAAUUUUUAGGUUUAUUUUAAUUAAAAGGUAAUAUAGACUUUUCACAACUUAUUUGUCCUAAAAGUCUUAUUUUUGAAAAACUCAUCUCAAAACUCUAUAUACCCAUCCAAAUAAUCUCAUUGGCAAUUUCCCAGCAUGGUUUAGAUACUGUUGUGAUUCUUGCUCAGAGCGAAUUGUUAAGACUCAGAGUAAUUUUAGAAAAAGAGAAGAUGUAGAGGAAAAGAAAAUACUAUAAAUGAAGUAAUAUUAAGUUAGUGAGAACUGAGAAGAAAACAUAAUUAAUAAUUAAUUAGAAAGAAGGCAUAUUCUGUGCCAAAAAGAAUAAACCUAACUUGAGAGCUGGUUGGAUUGUAAAUUUGUAUGUUCAAUGAUGAGUGGUUGGUGGAAUUUGACCCUUUCUUUGACUUUGACUAUUUGACUAUUUGACCAUUUGACCCAAUUAUUCAACCUUUUAACAGUCUUAACUUUCAAAGUUUCACAUGAGAAACUCAACUGCAUAUAUACCAUUUUCUUUAAAAAUAUACAUCUAUAUAUAUUUCCAAUUAUCAUUAAAAAAUGUUACGUUUAGUAAUACUUAUAACCAGUUUUGGUAAACUGAGUAGAAUUUCAUUUCAAUAAUUGAAGUUUAACAGAAUAUACUUUAGUAAAAUAUAUGUACAUUAUCACCUUUCUCUAUUUGUUGUAUAACAUUUCCUACUUCUAUGUGUGUAUGCAUAUGCAUGUUUACUUUGCAUGCCAUUGUAUUAAAAAAGUAAUUAUAAUUUAUAGUAAUUUUAAAAUUAAUAAUUCAAUAUAUAAUAACCUUUUAAAAAAAUUACAAAUAUAGUAUAAUCUAUCACUCAUAGACUAAAGUACUCUUAUAGUCUGACCAAUAUUUGUAUUCCAAUACGAUCUAUCAAUGAUAAACUUUAUUAUUGAUAAGACUUUGAUAAAUGUUUUAAAACUUUGUUAUAUAUUUAACUAUUUUGAAUCUAAUGACUAUAUUUGCAACUAUACAUACAAACAAUAUCAUAUUUUAGAAAUAAAUAUCUUUUUAUAAUAAGUAUAUUUAUAAAUUAAAAUAGUAAUAUCGUUGGUAGGGAGGCUCGCAUACCAUUUUGUAGGUUGUGAUUUAAGGUAAUUUUAAAUUUUAGUUAUUUUGAAUUUUUUAAGGUAUAAGUUGGAUUAUCUAGGAUUAGAUUAUGAUGGAUGUUAAUUAAGUUGAAUUAGAAGAUUAAGAAAAAUGUGCAUUUGGUGGGAUGUAAUAUAGAUUAAAUAAUUGUAUAUAUUUAUAUAUAAGGUUCUAUAUGUUGAAUGGGAGAUAAUAUAAAAAUUUGACACAAAAAUAACGAUGACAUUUACGUUUUAUAUAUAUGUAAUUAAUUGUUGGAAAGGAUUGUGUUUAGGAGAAAAUUAGAUAUAUAUUUGUAUAUGUAUAUUUAAUUAGAUAUAAAAAGGAUUUUGUUAGAGUGGUAUAAAAAUAUAUUUUUUGUUAAUAUUUAUUUUAGAAAAGGAAAAAGUAAAAAGGUAAACAAAGUUUAAGCAUUUAAUGUAGUGAGCAUCCGUGCAUUUUACCUUCGGGUUUUGUAAAAAUAGAAAAAAAUUAUGAUAAUAUAACCUAUAUGACAACAUUUUCUAAAUUUGUUAAAGUAGCAAUUUUAAAAGUGACAACUCUUUUAUAGCCAUCUAAUAGCUCUAUGGUUACUGUUUGAUAGUCAUCUGAUAUCACUAAUUUUGUCAUAUUCGCGAUAUGCAAAAAAUUAGUUUCAUUAGCUGCUUUUUCUAAAUGUUUUUUCUGUUAUUUGAUGCAAUUUUUCUUUUUUGUUUUUGUGUUUUAUCCUUCAUCAAAAGGAUCAUCGCCCCUUCCUUGGAGUUUCUUUUCGGUCACUCUCCAAUGCUUUUUGGGUGAGUAUUUGGUGGUUUUUGUAUUUUGGUUAUGAGUUUUAAUACCCAUUAAAAAUUGGUUUUAAGGAACUUAUUAUAAGGUUCAUGAAAAGCCAAUUUUAGUUUAUUGAAGAACUUUUGGAAUUUAUACGUGGUUUUUCAAACAAGAUCGUAAUUUGGAGUUUCAACAUGAAUUGGCUAAGUUAUAUUGGAGAAUUAAAAUUGGUUUAUAAUAUAUUUAAAUUCUUACUUUUGCUAAAAUAUCGUAAUAGCACACUUUUCUUCUAACAUCUUUCCUUAUUUAUAUUAAUUCUAAUUUGGAUUAGUCAUAUUUAAACUCUUACAAACUUGUCAGAUACUACUUACCUAAAUUCUGAGUCUUUGCAUGUCUAAACACUUGGAUUCCAACUCCAUCAAACAGUUAACCCUCAGUGAUCUUGAUAUGCAUUAGUCUGAGAUCACCUCAAGAACCUCAGCAAAACAUUAUUUGUCUCUAGUCUCAACCGACAUAACCCCAAGAUAGCUCUGAGAUCCUUCAAUUUCAUCUUUUGUCUUCAAUAAUCUCUGUCAGACUCGCGUAUCCAAGAUUGCCCGAGAUUGUCCAAGAUUUUUCUAAUUUUCUUUCUCUUCUUCUAAUCUCAGUCGAACCAGCACUAAGAUUGUCUUGAGAUUACACUUCUUAAGCAUUUUGUAUUUCAUCUCGAUCGAACCAGUAUCGAGAUUGUUCUCCUCUGAGAUCAACCUUAUGUCUUCAAUCUUGUCCAAGACUCCACAUGAUAGGACGAGAUCCAACUCUAAACCCCUUCUGUUUUUCAUUUCAGUCUACUAGAGCCCUAAGAUCAACCUUCUUUCUUCAAAAUCUUCUAAAAACUCUUAACUAAAAAUUCUUAUUUACCAAAAUGAUCCUUCUAUUAGAUACUGGUCUUACAUAAUACUUCUUAAUUAAUACGUAAUAAUGUAUACUUGAUACCCUUAAGUUAAAGAAAAAAAAAAAACUUGACCUUCUUCUUCAAAACCCACCAUCUCUCUUCAAUAUGAAAAUUUACACCCUUAAUUUGUUCGAGAUUUGAAGGAUCGGUUUCUAGAAGUAGAUGGACAGAGAAGCUGAAAUUGGAUUAUAUUCACAAAUUUUAGUCUCCGUAUAUGACCCAUGCCCAUAAACCAUACCUACAUCAAUUUGCUUGUGUCAUGUACCCAACCAAUUUUAUUUGUUACGGUUGAUUCUCUGAGGGUGUACUAAUCCCAGUGUUAAAUUGAAAUCUUGUUUAGAAUUGCAAUUUUGGAGUUAUAGACGAGUAUGACCAUAUACCCAAAAAAAAAAAAAAAAUGGAGAUUAUCGCACAGGAAGAAUUUGGAAGAGAAUUGCAAUUGUUGGAGUUCUAAACAAGUAUGACCAUAUACAAAAAAAGAAAAAACCAAAAAACCAAAAUAGAGAGUAUCCGAGAGGAAGAACUUGGGAGAGGAUGAAGUAAUUAAUCGAUGAAGAGUUGAGAGAGAGAGAGAGAGAGAGGUGCAUGAGAACAAAGAAGGGAAUAAGAGUGUCGAUAUGGUACAAGCUCCAUUUUGAAUUAAAGAACCAACAAAACAUAAUUAUUCUAGAUUUUGCCAUAUCUCUAAAAAAAAAACAAAUAUGAAAGACUAACUUGCAAAAUCUCACUUUGAAAUUACUGCCCAUUGCAAUUUUCCUUUUUUUUAAAAAAAAAGAAACACUUGUACUAAUGUUCAUAUAUCAAUAGCAAAGACAUUUUUAACUUUUCAAUAUUUUUUUUAUUACUUAAAAAUUCAAGUGAUUUUUAAACGAAAUACCCACCGUUUUUUUUUUUAUUUUUAUCUAACACCAAUAGUAAGGUCAGUAAGGUUAUUUUUAAUUUUUUUUGUUGAAUGUUUUAUGAUAUUUUCUUACCUUUUGAAAACUUUAAGGGUAUUUUUUUGACCCACAUAACCAAUUUCAAAAACAUUUAUUUAUAUAUAUAUAAUUUAGCCAUAGAAUAUAUUUAUUCCAACUAGUUGAUACAUGAAUAACAAUAGUAUCAUACUAACUUUAGUUUUUUUUUUUUUGAAAAUACAUAUUUUAUGUUUUAAUUAGUGGAUGAUAGGAAGCAAGUUCACAAUAAAGAAUUAAGUCCAACAACUUCUCACUUUUGUGAUAUUUUAAAAAAUCAAUUACCCCUUUGCUUAUGUUUUUUUCCUUCUGUAAUGGAUAACAACUAUAAUAAUACUAAUGAAGAAAAAACAACAAAAACAUAUUCAACCUUACACCAUGGAGUCUUUCAUAUAAAAAAUUUAUAGAAAAGAACAAAGAUAUUAUAUACUUUGAUGAAGCAAACUAUAAUUUAUACAUUAAUAACACAAAAAAAAAAAAAAAGAAGAAGAAGAAGAAGAAGAAGAAGAAGAAAAGAAAAGAAAAGAAAAAAAAAACCCCAAGAUUCUUGAUAUCUUUCUCUUGCUUAAAAAAGGCAAGGAAAAAUUGAUGCAAAAUCUUGAAAGCCAUAAUGGCAACAAUCUAGGGUUAUAUAUCUAUGUUCCAAAGCUAUAAAGUUAUAAACAAGGCCAAAUAAUGACAUCUUGAUUAUGGCCCUUCACAAUGUAGUUGUUUCUUUUGAACUAAUUGUCUCUUUCCCUCGAAAUUUAUCAAACUAUUGUUGUAGCUUCUAAAAUAAUGUGUUCGUCCUUUUAACACAAAAAUGGCAGAAUUUUUGGGGACCGUGAGAGAUUCUACCACGGUCGGAGAUUCUCGGAUGACUCUAAAAGUUCUUCCAAAUAAUCAGAGCCAAGAUCUUCCAAAACAACCACAUUAUUCUCAGUCUUCCCAAUCCUAUCUAUCUCUUUGCUCUUUCUUCUCGUGAAUUUCUUCCUCAUCGAAUGUUUUCUCUUCAAAGCCACCACCGGAGAUCCACCGUCGCCGCCCUCACCCGCGGAGUUGAUCAUCUCCAUCUCCUUCAGCGAUUCCUGAACUCUUUCCACCGGAAAAUUAAGAACGGCGGCGGAACCUCUCAUCGAAAAAGCUGCUUGAUCGUAGGCCAAAGCGGCCGCCUCGGCACUGUCGAAUGUCCCGAGCCAAACCCUGACCCCAUUUCUGGUUGAGUCUCGUAUCUCCGCCGCGUAUUUUCCCCACGGUCGCCGGCGGACCCCUCUGUAGGACUUUCUCUUGUGGGGGUCUUCUUCUCCGAGGGAAUCGACCUCCUCGUCUUUGAUGGGAUCCUGCCGAGGGGAAUUCUCCUGUGGGUCCACAUAAGCCUCGGAGAUUAAGCUGUGAAGAAGCAUUUCGUCGGAGUCAUUCUGGUUGAAGGGGAGAGAGUGAUCGUUGAUUUGAAAACCUUCCCAUCGGAGGGAUUCAAAGGAGCUAAAGGAAGACUCGGGUGAGAGAUCGGAGUUUUGGGAGUGAAAGAAUGAAGAAUUCAUUGAAUUGUUAGAGGAAAUGAAGAAGGGGAAUUGUGGUGCAUGAAAGGAGAAGUCUAUUACUCUGUUUUUCUCGACAGAGAGAUGGCUUCUUCGUCGGCUAUAAAUAAAUACUAAAUGGCAGAGUAAAUUGAAAACAAAAAGAAAAAAUAAAAUAAAAAGAAAAAGCUUUUAUUUUAGUUGAUGUCUAUGAAUAGUUUCAUGUGGAUUUAAAUUUUUAUCAAAUUUUGGCCUCAUAUUUUCUAUUUUUAAAAUUGAAAACGGGGGUAUUUUUUUUUUUUUUUAAGUUAAGUUGAAAAUAUUUAAAAAUAAGCCUAAUAUUAUGUGAUAAUUAUAAAGAGGGUGAAAGCAAAAAAAACCCAUUCCUUGUUUACCCAAUAAACUAUAUGAGUUUGAAGGUCUAUUUACCCUUUUUAAUUAUUAAAAAUAAAUUAAAAUAUAGUAAAAGUUUAGGUUUUAUUGUGUUGAUAAACUUUUAUAGACAUUUUGAAUA
Molecule: long non-coding RNA, 63386 nt
Filed under: Cucumis sativus (cucumber)
Lineage: Eukaryota; Viridiplantae; Streptophyta; Magnoliopsida; Cucurbitales; Cucurbitaceae
Description: long non-coding RNA (CSAT_LNC000622)
Source: RNAcentral